This 85453-nucleotide long non-coding RNA is filed under the name Gossypium barbadense (sea-island cotton). RNAcentral describes it as "long non-coding RNA (GBAR_LNC004805)". The stretch from base 17563 to 17708 matches the Rfam family "MIR7502 microRNA precursor family". Lineage: Eukaryota; Viridiplantae; Streptophyta; Magnoliopsida; Malvales; Malvaceae. The record is from RNAcentral.
UUUUUUUUUUCCUUUAGUUUUGCAGUAGGUGCCUCUAAGGCCAAUUUUGUUAUAUGGUUGUUGGGUAGUGCUGUUUUCGCCUCUAGUUUUCAAACCUACAAUCAUGGAAACCAAAUUAGCACAAUUGACACUCAAUGAGGAAGAAAAAGAGAUUUUACAGAUACAGAAAGAUCUAGGUACAGAAAGAGGAGUGGAGGAGUUUCAAUUAGUAGGGUGUUUCCUAACAGUCAAUAUAAUCCAUUUCUCAGCUUUGAAAAAUACUAUGGCAAAUUUGUGGCACCCUGUUCAUGGGGUUCAAAUUCGAGAUCUAAGGGAACAGAGGUAUCUUUUUCAGUUUUUUCAUAUUAUGGAUAUGGAAAGGGUUUUGAAGGGCUCACCAUGGACUUUCAAUAAUCACUUAUUGGAGCUUUACAAAUUGAAAAGGGGGAAGAUCCACUAGAAGUACCAUUAGUUUUUUCUCCUUUUGAGUACAAAACCAAUGUCCCAAUUGGUCUGUUUUUUGAAAAUUUAGUAAUACAAUUGGGUAAUUUUAUAGGUUUUUUAAAAUAUGAUGGAUCAAUUCUGGGAAAAAAGAAUCGCAAUUUAAAGAGUAAGGGUACAGAUUGAUGUUAGGUGAUAAACCGUAAUUUAUACAUAUUUUUAUCUCAUGCUUAGCAUAUUUUAUAGAUGAUUUCUCCUUAGAUUUGGUAAAUUCGAUGCUCCUAAACCUUUAAUUUCAUGUUUUAUACUUAGAUGAGCAUAAGAGGGUAAAAGGAUCAAGAAACGGGCCAAAAAUGGAGAAAACGGGCCAACGUGAGAAAUCAGCAUGGCCUAGAGUUCCUUACACGGGUGGAUCACACACCCAUGUAGGUUUAACAGGCUCUAACACGACUUGGACCUCUUCACAUGGGUUGACUACACAGUCGUGUCAAUUUGGCAGAAUCGAAGCACGACUUACAUGGGUAGACCACACGCCCGUGCUUAUUUAACAGCCUUGACCACGGCUUGAAGCAAUCGCACACGGGCGUGGCACACGGAUGUGUCCCUGUUGAGCCCAAGUAUAGUUCUAUUCGGAAAAGGCCAUUCUUGAGGGCUCUUAGGCAUUCUAAAGCCUAUUUAAACACUUGAUGAGGCACUUAGAACGGGAACGAAAAGUAGGAAGCAAGGAAUUACUCGAAGGAAGCCGAUUGAUCCAUCUUAGAAGCCAGAUUCACCAUCAAGACUGAAGAUCUCCCCUCAAUUUCCCUUCAGGAGUUUUGGGUUUUCUUUAUGUUUUGCAUUCAUUAUUCUUCUGAGAUGUUUUCCUUUACAAUUAUGAACUAAACCCCCUAAAUACCUAAGGGGAAUGAAACCUAAGACGAAUCUUGUUAUUAUUUUCUGAAUUGUAUGAUAAAUAUUUGACUUGUUCUUAAUUAUGUGCUUAAUUCUUGUUUUAAUAUUUUAGGAUAUUGAUUCAAGUUGAUGCACUUAUUCAGAGGAGAAAAAGUUCCUGUCUAAAAGUAAAUUUGUCAUAAUUAAGCGGAGUUGAUUGCACGCCUAGAGAUAGGAUGACAAGAUUUUGCCAGAUUAGGGUGAAACCUAAUAAGGGAAUCCAUAGAUCGAGUUAAUACAACACUAGGGAGUUAAUUAGAAAGAGAUUUCAAUUAAUCAACCUAGGGUUAGACGUUGUUAGUCUCUCGAGAGAUAAUAAUAUAAUUUAAGGAUUUCCACGAAACAAGUUGAAUGAAUAAAUCGUUUGAUUCAGAGUCAAAUAACAAGUGAAGUCUAGGUGGAUUGUUCCUUAGGUAUUGCCUUAAUCAAUCUAAAUUUCUAAAAAGUAUUUUUUUCAAGUUUAGAUAAACAAACAUCUUAAUUUUUAGGCUAGAUAAUAAAAAAAAGUAAUUACUAGUACUCUUGAUUCCUUUGGUUUUACAAUCCGGCUUGCUAAAGCUAUAUUACUAUUCGACAGGUACACUUACCUUCAUCGUGAUAAUAGUUAGUUCAAGAACGAUUCAUUUAUAAAUUUUUAAAACCUGUUGCAAUUAUCACGCACAUCAAGUUUUUGGCGCUGUUGCCGGGAAACUAAGAUAUUAGGAACACUCGAUUUUUAUUACUUUAGCCAUUUUACUUUUAUUGCAAUUUAAAUUUUUAUUUUACUUUCUAAUUCUUCAUUUAUUUUCUUCUGAUAGGUUUUUCUAGUUUAUGACCAGAAGAAAACCGUCAAGACCACUAUUUUUUAUGAUGAGAUCAAUCGCACAGUUCGCAGAAACUGAAGAGAAAUAAGGCUAAGCCUAAUAUACACAAAGGAAGAGCAAGAAGAUGAUAUUCAAACCACAACCGAUGAGAUGGCUAAAAACCAAGAAAAUCCGCUACCUCCUACGAUUGUUGCUAAUCAGAAUUCUGCUUCGUGCACUAUGUAUGAUUAUGCUAAACCUUCUUUAACAGGAACUAAAUCAAGAAUAGUUAGGUCUGUUGUUGCUGUAAAUACUUUUGAACUGAAACCUAACACAAUUCAAAUGAUAUAGCAAUUUGUUCAGUUUGAUGGUUUGCAGGACGAAGAUCCCAACGCUCACUUGGCGAACUUUUUGGAACUUUGUGAUACAUUUAAAAUCAAUGGCGUUUCUGAUGAUGCCAUUCGCCUUCUAUUAUUCCCUUUUUUCAUUGAGGAACAAAGAUAAACAGUGGUUGAACUCGUACCACGAGGGUCAAUCACUACCUUGGAACAAAUGACUGAAAAGUUUUCAUUAAAAUAUUUUUCUCUAGCUAAAACGACCAAAUUACGUAAUGAUCUCUUCUUUUGUACAUAUGGUUUUAGACACACUUUAUGAUGCAUGGGAGAGAUAGAAGGACCUUUUGAGAAGAUGCCAUCACAAUGUAUUACGACUCUGGCUACAGGUUCAAACGUUCCAUAACGGUCUAAAUCCUUCGACUAGACAGAUGAUUGACACAGCUACUGAUGGGACUAUCAAUAAUAAGACACCUGAGAAUGCAUAUGAAUUUAUAGAAGAAAUGUCACUGAAUAAUUAUCAGUGGCAAGUCAUGAAGACAAAGCCAACAAAAGUAACCGACAUUUUUAACGUCGAUUCAGUCACCAUGCUCUCCAAUCAGGUAGAAUUUUUGAAUAAAAAAUUGACGAUUUACUUGGUUCUUCACAGGUUCACCCAGUAAUGCAAUGCGAAACAAGUGGAUGUGGAUCGAGCAAUUAAGAAUACCCACCAUAUGGCCACAACAUGGAGAACGAGCAGAUAAAUUAUAUGGGUAAUAAUCAUCGACCUCAAAAUAGUCCUUAUAGUAAUACUUACAAUGCAGGCUGGAGGAACCACCCAAAUUUCUUAUGGGUAGGCCAAGGAAAUCAGAGACCACCACCACCUCCAGGCUUUCAACCACUUUACCAACAAGAGAAAAAGCUGAACCUUGAGGAGAUGCUAAGAAAAUUCAUCUCGGUGUCAGAAACUCGUUUCCAGAAUACUGAGACAGCACUUAAGAAUCAAUAAGCAUCGAUCCAAAGGCUCGAAACUCAGAUAGGCCAGCUCGCUAAAUUGAUAUCUGAACGACCACAAGGUAGCCUACUGAGUAACACUGAAACUAACCCAAUGGAGCAGCUCAAUGCAAUUACCAUUCAAGAUGAGGAAGGGCUAGUUACAUCUGAACCAAAACCGAGGCAAGAAACUGUGGUAAGUAAAGGUAAAUGUGAGGUGGACCACAAUGACCAAAAAUAGGUAAGUACAGAAUACAAACCUCGUGUACUAUACCCCAAUGUGACAAGGAAAGACCACUCAGACGAACAAUUUGAUAAAUUCCUUAAACUUUUAAAGAAAUUACAUAUUAACUUAUCGUCUAUUGAAGCCCUUUCGCAGAUGCCAAACACAGUCAAAUUUUUAAAGGAGCUUUUAGUAAAUAAGCGGAAGUUAGAUGAGUCGUCGCAUGUGGAAAUGAAUGUAGUUUGCUCAGCCAUACUACAGAAUAAGCUGGCCAACAAAUUAAAAGAUCUAGGGAUUUUUACAAUACCUUGUUUAAUUGGUAACUUAGAUAUUAAUAAUGAUUUGGCUGAUUUAGGGGCUAGCAUCAAUGUCAUGACUUACAAAAUUUUUAAGCAACUAGGUCUUGGAAGACCCAAACAAAUUAGGAUGAGCAUUCAAUUAGCAGAUAAAACUAUCAGAUUUCCUGAGGGUAUUAUUGAAGAUGUACUCAUUAAAAUUGACAAAUUUAUAUUCCUAAUUGAUUUUGUUGUUCUAAACAUAGAGGAGGAUAGUAACGUUCUUUUAAUUUUAGUAAGGCCCUUUUUAGCAACUACUAGAACAAUUAUUGACUUUAGCACAUGUGAACUCACACUUCGUGUAGGAAACGAAACAAUCACCCUUCAAGCUCGUAAUUUGAGUAACACAUCAAAAAUUAAAGGUGGUUGUAUAAAUCAAACUAUUAAGAUUGACCAUGUGGUGCAACCUACUUUGUAGGAAACAAGUUCGAAGAACAUAUAUAAGCAUGUUGAAGCAACAUCAAAGAUUCUAUCUAUGAAGAACGAAGGCUACAGAUCGAAGAGCUAGAUGAAUGGCUGACACAUAAACUGAGAACACACCAUAAACCAAAACCAAGCCAGAACGAGCUCAAUACCUCACCAAAUCAACUUAAGAUUGGAGACAAAGUACUACUAGAUGCAGCAGAUCCUCGCAUUGCCACUUCUGAACCUAAUGGAAAAAUUCCUCUCACGGUACUCAAUAUUUUCCCAUUUGGUGCAGUUGAGGUACUCUAUCCAAAAUUCAGCACUUUUAAGGUAAAUAGUACCCGUCUCAAUCCUUAUGUUGAUAAAAUUGAUAGCAGGGAUGAGGAGUGUAAACUCCUCGCACCACCUUGACUAUGCAGAAGAGAGGUAAGUCUAGCUUAGACUAUAAAUAAGCGCUUCUCGGGAGGCAACCCGAGCACUAACAGAGUUGAUUUUAGUAAAAUUCAAUUUUUAACAUCUAGCCUACUAAUUGAGUCUUUGAACACAAGGUUUUCCUAUCUAUAUGGCCAGGCACCAGCCAGGCACACGAACGUGCCUUAGAUUGUGCUCACAACACAAAAAGAGACAUGGCCAUGCAAUAUAACCGUGUGAAAAUAAGGUAAAAUUUUUUCUCAACACAGGAUGCGAUAAGUUGCCACUGCUGUGCGACAUGGCCGUGGGUAAAACUGCCAAAACAACACGGGCGUGCGACACGCCUGUGUCUUGAAAUCGUGGUUAAAACUGAAAAUUUAGCACGGGCGUGCGACACACCCGUGCCAUUCAUCCGUGGUUGACACUGUCAAACUAACUUGGGCAUGGACCUAUAUACACGGGCGUGAGAGAAGCGAACGAAAAAGGACAUGAUCGUGAGACACAGUCGUGUGCACCAAUAUGCCCAAAAAACACCGACGUAGAUCGAAUGUCACACGCUCAAAUUUAAAAAUCGCAAAACACAGGCUACAAUAAAGGCACACGGGCGUUCCCCACGGCUAUGUGCCCCAAAAUUUAUAUAAACCUCUCACUAUUCAUCUCCUUCCCUAAAAUCCCUAACCCUAGCUGCUGCAACUUCACACGCCCUACCUGCCACGCCCAUGCGCCGACCACAGCACCCUUUUCGACGACCCAAGCUCUUCCCCCUUAUGUUUGUUCACUCUUUUCCCUCUAUUCCCUUCAGUUCUUAUACUUAUUUCAUGAUAUCUUGUUCUAUUUUAGGUCAAUAAUCAUAGUUAUAAUGAUAGAAUACUUAUGCUUAUUGUUGAAGAAUUUUGCCAUGUUAGUCACAUUCCUCCAUUUUUUUCUUAUUUCUAUAGAUUUCAUGCUAUCAAACCCACAUGCAUUCAUUCACUAAGCAUUAUUCUCGUAGUCUUAUUCAUAAUAAUGACUUCAUAUAUCUAUUUGAGUCGUUUUAGCAUAUUUUUCAUCUAGUACGUAAUCCCCAUGAAGUAUCUCUAUUUAAGUUUUAGCAUGCAUGCUAUUGAUGGAGAGUAAUUUUAUUUCGUCUUACCAUUGCAGAUAUCAUGUCAAGUCGUGGUAAGAAAACUGCUGUCCCCUCUUCGAAGAGGAAAGUAGCAUCAUCCUCAUUGGAUCCUACCGCAGAGAUUAGGCACCCGUUCCUCCAAUUUCUCUUGGGACCCUAAGAAAAACUAUUUCAGAUAUUACAGGCCUGACACCUAGGUGUGGGCCGCUGCAUUAACUGGGCCGUACUUAAGCAAAUUCAAAUGGCUAACGCGGUCAAAGCCCUUUUGUUGAUUGAUCCAUGAGGGCUCUUCGUUAUGAUCAUCGAGCCAACGUACAUCGAACUCACAAUAGAACUCUACUCGACCUUCCAUCUUCAAGUAGUCAUGACAAACGUUGAUGAUCCUAGAACGGUCUAGUUUUGCCUCGGUGGUCUAAUGUGCUAGUUGAGUGUACUAGAGUUCAAAAUUGCACUAGGGCUGUAUAAGGAGUUUAUGGACGAUAAUGAACUCGCCACCCUCCAUCGCCAUAUCCACUACUCUCAUUCGAAGUGCUGGAGUUCUUUAGUCCCUGCCUCGACCACAUACGAUCCUAGCCACUUCAAGGCAGCGGCUCUCCCUCUAUCUUUAAGGUACCUACACGCCAUCUUGGCCCACACAUUGAUAUGACGACGAGAGACUACCAGCGCCAUCAAAACGCACGAUGCCUACUUUUUAUGGAGCAUGACAAACGGGCAUGUAUUCGACCUUGCCUAUUUCAUCGCACUCACCAUUCGCCAUCAAACGGAGCGACAUAAGAGAGGAGUCAUCUCUAUUGGCCGCUAUGUGACUAGACUGGCACGAUACUUCAAGCUCCUCAUCACAGCAACACAAUCAUCCUCCCUCACUCUGAUCGGCCAGAUGUCUCCACAGAGCAUCUCGAGCAUGCUACAUAUGAGGAUUGUAGCGACGUAAAAAAAAUUUUAGUUUCGCUUGUUCGCUAAUUGUGGCGAUUUAUUAAUCAUUUGAAAACCAACUUUUGAUUUUAUUAAAAAAAGAGUCGCCACCGAUCCUUUUUUAUAGGUGUGAUCGGACGCCUAAUAAAAUUAUUUUAAAACAAAAAGAAGGCCAAAUUUAGGUCUACGUGAAAGUCUAGAGAAAAAUUGAGGUUCGGGAGUCAGUUACGCGCGAAGAAGGUAUUAGCACCCUCGCGACGCCCAAAAUUGGUAUCUCAUAAACAUGCGUUGACUUGAUUUUUAAAAAUACGAGUUUAAUAUAAUAUUUAAUCGUGAUCCGAUUGAAAAAUAAGAAUUUUUAGUUUUUGAUUUUUUUAGAAAGGGUAUCCCGUUUUUUAACACAAGCCGACGAAUUUCACCCAACAUAGCGAUGAAAUCAAUAGCUUAAUAUUAAAUCGGUACAUUACCUUAUUUUUGAAAUUAAUUAAAAGAUGAGAAAAAAUAUUCCUAAAGUGAGAAAUUAAAAAUAAAUAAAAGACGCAAAAAAAAUGAUAUCAUUAAUGAAAAAUAUUAACAUGGAAUACUAGAAUAUUAGAAUAACAAUAAUAAUGAUAUUUACAAAAUAAAAACAAAUCAUGUACUAAUAAUAAAAUAGAAAAAAUGAUAUAUUUGGUAAUAAUAAUAUAAAAUAAUAAUAUGUACAUAAAAAUACACAUAUAUAUAUAUAUGCAUAUAAUAAAAGUAUGUAAUAAUAAUAAUAAUAUCUACAAUAAAAGAAAAUAUUAAAAAACAUACAUAAAAAAUUUACAAUAAUAAUAUAAAAUAAUGAUAUGUACAAAUAUAUAUAUACAUAUGUACAUAAAAUAUACACUAAUAUAAUAAUAGUUAUAAUAAUACUAGCAAUAGUAAUAAUUUGUAAUAAUAUAUGCACAAUAUGGUAUUUAAAAUAUAUAUAUGUAUAUAUAAUAAUAUUUAAGAAUAUAUACAUAAGAAAUAUAUAACUAAUGGCAUUAAAAAAUAUAUACAUAAUAUAUAUAAAAUACCAAAAAAAAGAAGGGGGAAAAAAGAGAGAAGGGAAGGGGGAAAGGAAAUCCGGCCAAGGGGGCCAGUCACCGAUCGAUCGUCGGUCGUCGCCCGUCGCCGGCCACCGCCUGCGGUGGUCGAAAAAGGUAAAUUUUUUUUAACAAUAUAUGUAUAUAUAAAGAAAGAAAAAAAACAACACAAAAAAAGAAAAAAAAGAUUCGAAAGAAGAGAAAAAAGAAAAAGAUGCAAUCUUUUUAUUGAUGUUUCUUUUGUGUUCAAAAUUUGAAGGGAUUUUUGCGUUUUUUUUCAAUCUCUGUAAAAAAUCCCCCCCUCCUUACAUGAUUUUUGAAUGGCUUUUUAUAAUCAUCUUUUACAUGAUUUUCUAUUAUUUCUUUUUCUAUUUUGUAAGUGAUGGUGGUAGACAAUGGAUAUCAAAAAUGAGAGGAAAAAUGGGGCAAGUGGGAAAGUGGCUAGGUGGCUAGGGUUUUUUGGUUUUUUUUGGUUAAGUUUUUUUUUUUUUUUUUUUUUUUGGGUUAAGUUUUUUUUAGGGGGACUUAAUGGGCUUUUGAAUUGGGUUUAAUAUUUGGGUUUUGUAAUGGGUUUGGGUAGAUGUAUAUGGGUCAUGGGUUAAGAGUUUUAGUGGGUUUAGAGGUUUGGUUGGGUUUUGAUAUAAUCGAGCCCAGGCAAUUUGAGCUUCUACAAGGAUGAUCGAGAAGCGACGUGGAACAAACCCUCUUCAAUACCGCCUAGUCCAGUCAACCGAGGAAGACGACCCAUAGGACAUUUCUGAUGAUAUCCCUCUACGACACGAGGACCCACCGUCUCAGCCACUACCCAUCCAUUGUUCAGUUCAUGCGGCGGCUUCAUACUCUGACAUCUCAAAUUGGAUUGCUAAGUUCCAGAGGUGAAAGUCCAACAUCUACUACAUUCCUUUUCAGAUCAUUAUCCUCUUUUAAUUAACAUAAGAAUGAUUGAAGAACGACUGCAGAAUAAUACUUUCAAAAUUAAAGCUUGGUGGUUAUUGGAAUAUUUUUUCUUAAACCAAGCUAAAAUUUUGUGGGAGAAUUCAACUGUGGAGUUGCUGCAAAAGCUGGAAAUUUUAAAAAAAGGACUGAAACAAUAGGCUGGGCAAAUUCAAGUUAAUAGGAAGAAAAGAAAACAGUUCCUAAUGGAAAAAUUAUAUGAAUUAUCUGAAGCUGAACGAGAUGACAGAAAUUUAGCUGAGCUGAUUGGUACAAAAAUUGAUUUAAAUUUUGAGAUUGAAAAGGAUGAAUGCUAUUGGGAAUAGAGGGCUAGGCUGAAAUGGUUAAAAUUUAACGAUAAAAACACAACAUUUUUUCACAAUCAAGCAAUGCAACGCUGGAGGACAAAUUUUAUUCUUAAGUUGCAAAAUGAAGACGGAAGAGAAAUAUAGUGCUUAUUCCAAAAAUUACCGGCCCUUUAAAUAUGACACAGUUUAGGCCGAUUAGCCUAUGCAAUGUGCUUUAUAAAAUUCUGGCAAAGGUUAUAGCAAAUAGAUUUCGGGGAGUAAUUGAAAAAUACAUUGAUGGAGCGCAGAGGGCCUUUGUACCAUGACGAUUAAUAUCAGAUAAUGUGUUGUUAGCCUAUGAAAUACUGCAUAUACUUAAACAAAAGAAAUUGGGAAAGAAAGGGUUUAUGGCAGUAAAACUCAAUAUGAGUAAAUAGAGUCGAAUGGAAUUUUUUAAAGGAGAUAAUGGUACGAAUGGGUUUGCUAAAAAAUAGGUAGCUGCUCUCAUGAAAUGUGUAACUGUCUCUUAUUCAGUGGUCAUCAAUGGGCAUAUUGGAGAACAUUUUCUACUAACUAGAGGACUUUGACAAGGUGAUCCUUUAAGUCCGUUCUUAUUUCUUUUAUGUGGGGAGGGUCUAUCGAGCUUAAUGAGACUAACAAUGAAUGGAGGCUUUUUCAAAGGCGUCAAGAUAAGUGCCCUACAGGUAUCCCACCUUUUAUUUACUGAUGAUUGCAUUUUAUUUGGGGAGGCAACAGGCAGGGGAGCUAAUUUGUUUAAGGACAUCUUACGUGAGUACAGAUCUUACUCAGGUUAAUGUGUAAAUUUUGAUAAAUCAAUAGUAUUUUUUAGCAAAAACACAUCGGAGGAGGAUAGACGGUUGAUUGUCAAUUUAUUGGAGGUCCACAGUUCAAAUGAGACAGAGCAUUAUCUAGGGCUGCCGAAUAUGGUUGGUCGAAUAAAGAAGGAAUCUUUCCAAAAUUUAAAGGACUAAAUCAAAAAGUGUAGUAAUAACUGGAGUAAUAGAUUUUUAUCUCAAGAAGGAAAAGAAGUUUUUAUCAAAGCCAUUCUUCAGGCUAUACCAACUUACACGAUGGCUUGUUUCUUAUUAGCCAAAGCUCUAUGCGAUGAGCUCGAAAGUAUCGUUGCAAAGGUCUGGUGGCAGAAGGGAGAUGGAAAAAGAGGAAUUCAUUGGUACACUUGGAAAAAUCUUUAUUUUUUUAAAAGAAAAUGGUGGUUUAGGUUUUCAAAAUUUUAGCCAAUUUAAUAUUGCAUUGUUAGCCAAACAAGGUUGGCGUCUAAUUAACUAUCCAAAUUCUUUAUUGGCCAGAGUUUUAAAAGAAAAAUACUAUCCACAAUCAAGUUUUAUAAAUACAGAGUUGGGAAAUUUACCUUCACUCACCUAGAAGAGUAUUUGGGCAGCUAAGGGCCCCUCCAAAAUGGGUUGUGCUGAAAAGUGGGUAGAGGGGAUAAAAUUUCAAUUUGGAAUGAUAGUUGGAUUCAGGGGAUCGAGAAACUUGAAGGGCAAAACAGAUCAAACAAUGAGGAGUUAAAAUUAGUUUCGGAUCUUAUUAAUAUUUCGAACAGAAAAUGAAGGACAGUUUUGAUUAAUAAUACCUUUCAAGUGGAUAUUGCUCAGAAAAUCACACAAACCCUCUUGCAGAGACAGACCACAAAUAUUUUCAAGUCUGGAAAAAAGAACUGUCUGGCGAAUACAAGCCAAAAUCAAAGAUUUUUACAGAAAACUUUGGACCCUACAGCUACCCUCAAAAAUCGCAAUCACUAUUUGGCAAAUUUCCUGAGAUUUCAUUCCUAAUCUAGCUAAUCUCAGGUACAAAAGAGUUCUUUCAAACGAUAGAUGUCCCCAAUACUGCUCCUAGGCUAAAGACAGUCUCCACAUCUUUCGUUAAUGCCCUAUAUCAACAAUCAAAAUUUGGCAAAUUUUACAUCUUUCUUGGGUCAUUAAUAAUAUGAGUCAAAAUAUAUGGGAGUGGUUAACUUGGGUUUUCAAGAAAGGUAUUGAUGAACAAUGUCAACUUUUUUUGUUAUGCUAGUGGUUAAUCUAGCUUUCCAAGAAUCAGUUUAUUCAUAAGAUGAAAAGCACGACAGGAAAAGAUCUAGCACAAAGAGUAUAGAGGUAUAUGGAGGAAUAUGAAGGAGUGAGAGCAAUGAAGAUUCCUUUAAAUACCGUCAAAAGCCACAGAAAUCAGGAAGACAUACCUAGAAUGAUGAUUCAGUUUGAUGCAGCAUUUGAUAAUAGAAACUUCAAGUCAGCAACGGGUCUGGUGGUUUGGGGCUUGAUGGGUAAACUACUGGUCUCAAAGUCGACUCUUCACAACAACAUUUGCUCCUCAUUUGUAGUAGAAGCAUAUGCAUGUUUUGAAUCCAUAAAUUUAAGGACCUCAUUGGGUAUGCAAUCAGUUAAAAUCAUGGGGGAUUCCAGAACAAUAAUCAAAAAGUGUCAAACGACAUCAACAGAUGAAUCAGUGAUCGGAGCGAUUAUCAGAGAUAUUCAGAAUAUGAAAACUUGUUUUCAAGAAAUUAACUUUCAGCAUAUUCACAGAUUAGGAAAAUUUAAAGCUCAUAGAAUCGCAAAGAACACGCUUGAAAGAGGAGAGAUUACGUACCUGUUGAGAGAAUGGUUGAAUAGCCAAGCUUUCAUUUCGAAGGGGCGAUGGUCACGAUGCCCAGACUGAAGGAACACUUUGAGAAAAAUGAGUUCAAAAUUAGAUAGCAAAUAAUGUUUAUAUCCUUUGGAAAUCGCUAUCAUCAGAACGGAUGGGAUUUUGAAAUGAAAAGACGAGCAACUUAAUGGAAUCCAGCCGUUUGAGUUGACUGGGUUAGAUAAGUAGGUUUCCUAUUUUUUUCAGUCUCAUUUAUUGCUUUUCGUUUUCUUCAAUUUAUGGUUUCUUUAAUGUUUUUUUUAGGAGGCUUCCACUAUUAAAAUGUAUAGUGAGGCUAGUUCUAUUUUUUGUUUUUGAUGUAGUAUGCUUGAGUCCAAUUGGUUUGUUAGGCCUCAUUUAUUUUUUAUCUUCAAAUAAAAUACCCAAUCAAUUUAAUUUCAACAAAAAAAACUACAUUAUUCCUUUUUAUUGUAUGAUAAUUAAAUAAUUAAGCAUAUAGUAUAUUUCAUUUAAAAGAAAUAAAAUUAUCUAAUUUAACUAUAAAUUUAUGUAUUCCCUUUAUUUUAAUGUUUUAAUUUUUUUCUCAUUAUUCCCUACAUUUGCGGAGUUUAGUUUAAUGAGUAAAUUCGCUAUCUUUACUAAUAUAACAAUCUCACUUUUGUAUCUUGAAGACCUAAAUCACUCAGAUCUAAGUUUUCCCCUUAGGAACUUAGGCUAUAAACACAAGCUAUUUACUUUCAAAUACACUCACAAAUGUGUUCUUCAAUGAACAAUAAAAGCACUCUCAAUACUUAGUGCAUAAACCUAUACAAGUUUCUUAAUAUAUAGAAGUUCUCGAGACUUGCUAACAUAUUAUAGAUCAAUUACAGUCUAAUCCCUUAAAAGAAACAACUAUAAGAUAUCUAAAUACAAUAUCUAAUAAAUACCAAUGGAAAGAGGACUAUCGGAGAUUCGUUAUUCAAUGUUAUCUCCAUCUGUUCUCUACAAUCCAAAGGAUCUAAUUGUUUGGUCUAAUUCGAUCCAAUCUUCAAUGAAAGUUGCUUUAAAUGAAUUGGUCUUCAAAGUUAAGCUUGCAUACAUCCAAAAUAUCAUUGUCAUUCAAAGCUCAAAGAUUUAGUUUCAAUAAAUUGUCAACUUCAAAUUUGGCAAGUAUUUGUCUGUUAUGGUGUUGAUGAAAGUGGCUCCUACCCAGCCACUUCAAAAACUUGCCUCAACAAUCUCUCUCUUAUGAAAUUUUUUUAACAAAACCAAACAAGCCACAAAGUUGAUCAACAAAAUAACUCCACCUCAAUACAAUCCUCAAUCCAACAUACCCAACAUAAAGCAUAAUUAAGCAUAUUAACCAUCAAUACUUUGUCUAGAAUUUGCAUCGAUAUGCAAAAUACUGUAAGGUGUGGAUAAGUAAAUAUACACCAGAGUAAAAUUAUCCAACCAAUUGAUAAUAUUCAAACUUUUCAAUUUUACAAAAAUAUAAAUGCACUAGAAAUAACCAAAAUAAUAGUAAAAACUCAGAAGCAGUGAAGCAAUAGUAAGUCAUGUUUCCUUCACUAUCUCUACUCCUCCCUUUUGUUCAAAAUAUGUGCCAAACUCUUACUUUCAAAUUCAUAACAUACAAAAUAUUCAUUUCAUUAUCUCAUUUCUUUCUCGAAUCUAUUGAUUCGUUUCAUUUCCAUAUCGACCUUCAAGGCUCUUGUUUUCCGGUUCGUAUAAUCUUUUGCAUGCUAUUAUUUGUCACAUUUCACAUAUAUGUUUAUGAUAUACCAAUUCCAAUCAACAUUUCAUAUCAACUAUCAUUUAGCAAGUUCAUGUUUUAUAACCUCUAUUAAUCGGACUGCGAUUUAAUACAGAUAAACGAAUCAUCCAACCAUCACACCAAUUUGGCACCCCGUGCCUCAUCGGUACGUUCAAAGUAAAAAUUGUACAUUGUGCCUUAUCUGUAUAAUCAAAGCAAUAUGUGUUCCAUUUUGGAUCUGGUGCUCUAAGUGUAGUAUUUUUGUCAAUAUACACUUGUACUUUUUUUGAACAAAUUGAAUUUAUUAGUUACAUUAAUAUACUUUGUAUAAUUUUCCUCACAUGAUUUUUGCAUGCAAAGAAAAAUAAAAGCAAAUGUUGCUCAUUGGUUAUCUAUUUUUUUAGCUAAUACUGAGCAGUAUUAUAUGGUCGGAUCAUAAUACUAAAAGACAGCUUGUAUUAGUAAACGAACUGAAACAUGUCCUUAGUCCAAUCAGAAAUUAGCAAACCAAUUAAAGACUAAUAUGGCGUCUAUCAAGUCCAAUUAAGGAGAUACCUUUUCUUGGACACCGGAGUACCGGAGUAGAUAACUUCCAGAAGAUAGAGACAUAGAUGUGACUGACUGGACUGACAGUCCAUCGGACAAAACCCAAGCAAAAUAGAUCCUGAAUCCGUUUAUGGAUUUAUUCACUUCUAACAUUCAUAGUGUGACAUACUUAAAUCAUGAGAGGAUAACGAACUAUGUAUACAUGACUCUUAUAUUUUGAUGUAAGUAAAAGCUUGAGUUCAAAUAGGUAAGAAAUCAAAAACUGGUGUGUUGGGUGUAGAACUUCUGUAGUAUGUAGCACCAUUCACAACAAUGGAAUUCAUAACCCAAAAUAUGGGUAAAUGAUAUCCUCUCAUUGGCAUUACAUGGUUGAUGAAAAGUAAACGUGGCCACAGGUCGUCCAUCUUUGUGAUGGAUGACUUGAUCACUAUUUGAUAGUGAUUGACUUUUCAUGAAGGAAGAUGUAAUAGUUACCAUGAGAUAAAAUAGGAUCAUAUUGGGAGAAUGGAUAUUAUCCCAAAGAGAUCAAGGAUAUCCUAUGAGGGUAACACAUUUAUGACAAGUUUAUUAGACAAGCACUUAGUAGUUGCUUUCGUAAUGGUAUGUAGUGGGGGAGAACUCAGUCACGACACUAUAGUGGAAUGACUUCGUGACUAAAUGAGUUUAUAAUUAAUAGGCGAAAAUCUGGAACUUAUUAUAAAUCAUUUGAGCCUCAACUUCAUAUGUCCAAUCAGUCCUUUCGCUAACUCGUUGAAACCAAAAAUGAAUUACGUGUUUGAAUGGAAAUGAACAAAAUGAAUAGAAAAUGAGAAAUGGGAAACAUUCAAUAAUGAUUAUGGUUUUCCCCGAAAUGGAGAAAUGGAAUCAUUUGGAAAUGAAUGUAGGUUUCCAAAAAUGAAAAUGAAAAUGAAAAUGAAAAUAGAAACUUGCAAUCCUAUAUAGGAUGACUUAAAAAAUGAUGGAAGAAUGAGUUUACGGUUUUGGAUUGUUUUAAAGCCCAAAAAUGAAAAUAAAUCAUUCGGUCAUAGUGAACAUGUUGAGUUGUAACAUAUUAAACGAAAUUUCUCGAAAUUUUAUCGAGGGUAAAAUUGUCAAUUUUAUUAGGGUAAAAUUGAGGUAAGAAAAUUAUUUAAUAUGUAAAUAUUAAAAUUUAUUUUGAGAAAUAGAAAAACUAAAUCGGGUUGGAUCAUAUUACGAAGUAUUGGGUCAAAAAAGGCAUAAGAAGUACUCAUAAUCGGACCCAAUAUGUGAAAGGCCCAAAACCCCUCAUAUAACAUAAAGGGAGCGGCAACCUUAGUAGAAAUACAAUGGUGAGUCAUUCACCCCUUUCCUACUUUAAGUAGGAUGUUGUUUUUCUAAUUAAAAUAAUCAUCUACAACUCUAAAAGGGUUCUGCUUUCUCUUAUAAAUAGAUCGUACAGGUAGAGCAAUUAACACAACUUUUGAGAGAUUGUUAUUCUAUCAAAAAAUAGAGAGAAUUUAUUCUCAACUUAUAAACAUAUUUUUUAGAAUAACAAUUUUACCGGUUUCUGUUAAAGAAAAGAGAAUUUUCUUUUUCACCCCAAAAGGAAAACUUUUUCUAGUUAUGUGUUUUGAUUCAAUUGGUUCGAGCCCACACUCGAAGCAAAUCGUGGUAUAAGAAUAGCGAAAAAGAUCAUUUGGUUGAAAUCCGAAAAACAUCAAGAAUUUGCUUAUCCAAAAACAUAGGUAUGGAUUCGAUUAAGGUUUAUUACUAUAAAUAUCACAAAUCGGGUCGAUUUUCAAAAUUUUAAUUUUUCGCUAUGAAAGAAAAUCAAUUUUAAACUGGAUUUUUUCCUUUACUCCACACAUAUGAGCUCUAUGCCUCAUCAGUAAAAACUGAAGUAUAAACCCAUACACAAAUCUAAUCAUAUGGCAUGCCACCUAUAACCAACUCUGUCUACACAGUUAAUAGGGUAACCAAUGAAUUGAAUACAUAUAUGUUCGUAUUCAUAACUCAUAAUUCAUAUCAUGCUUGUUUAUGCUAUGUUCAAUUCAAUUCCUGGCAUUCUAUGUCAUCAUAUGCCAAUCAAAUCAUGAGACAAGAAAAUACUUACCUCAAAUAACCAAUUUGUAACAUAUCAUGUAUAUGCAUAUGUUGAACUCAAAUCAUAAAAGUACAAAUCGUAGUUUUCGUUACUUGUCUACGACUCUCGCUUUUCUUUUCUCUCAAGAUGGCUCAGUAUGGUCUUUAGCUACGUUAGAUAUUCUAUUAUAAAAACAAUAUCAAUUCACACUCAAAUCACAUUAAAACACAAUAUCUACAUAUUUUUCAUUUUAUUCCUUAUAUCUGGGAUACUCAUAUUUUUCAAUAUCUAACAUCAAAUCAAAAUUUGAUUUCACAUCCUUCCAUUAGGGAUCUUAUACUUUCUAUCCAUAGCAUAAUUUCAUGAUAGUUUUCAGUUUAUUCAAUUUAGUCCCUAAUGUCACAAAGUUAUCUAACAAGUUUAACUUAUUUUCCAAUUUAGUCCUUAUCAUAAACUAAGCUUACUAACAACUUAUUUUCCAAUUUAGUCCUUAUCAUAAACUAAGCUUACUAACUAACAAUUUCUUCAAAUCAAGCUCAAGAUCAUCGAUUUCACUUUAAUGACAACUUACUAAAUAUCUAACGGUUGAAGAAAUUGAUACAUGAGCUAGCUAAAUCAAGCUUCCAUGAUCAUGAAUCUAUAAAAACUUUAAGGAAAUAGCUUUGUUACCUUGAACAAUUCAAUGGCCAAAUGUUUGGUUAAUAGCUUGAAGUUUCUUUCUUUUUUCUAAUUGUGGGACAGUUGGAAACUUAAGGAAGAUGAUUAUAUGUUGUCAUCUCUACUUACAUUAGUAUAUGUAUAUAUAUGCACUUAGAUUAACUUAUAAUUUAACUUAAUUAAUUCUUAAUCUUAACAAUUUAAAUAUACUUAAUCCACUAAUUAACUUACUAAUUAAAAAUGAGUGAAUUUCCAUGAAAUUCCACUAACUCAAUUCAAUUUAAUGGUUAAAAAUCAUUUUGGUCCUUUGGAUAAUUGCUAACUAGGUCUCAAGCAUUUUCUAAAUUAAAACUCAAUAGCAAUUGGAGUUUUACAAUUUAGCCCCUGAGCUUUAAUUAAUGAUUUUCUCGGUUAAAUUACUUAACCAAUCUUUAAUAUAUUUUUACACUAACUCUAUUCAUCUUCCUAUUUAAUUCUUAUGAGAGUCCCUGAGCUUAAAUUAACAAUUUUUCCUGUUAAAUUACUUAUCAAUCUUUAAUAUAUUUUUAAAUUAACUCUAUUAAUCUUCCUAUUUUAUUCUUACAAGCUCGAUUUAUGAAAAUGGGGUUCUGAAACCACAUUUUUCAACGCCAGCAAAACUUGGGUCAUUACAUAGUACAUGGAUCAAACUAAUAAAAAAUUAUACAAAUAUUAAAGUGGUAAUUUAGCUACAUUGCAUGAGCCAAAAGAAAUAUUAAGCUACUUUGGGUAAAAAUACAAUAGAGGCCUUUGUACUAGUUGUUAGAUUGCAUUUUUCUCCCUCUACUAAAAAACGAGCAAAUUAGUCUCUGUAUAUUAAAUCAAAGGGCAAAUUGGCCCUUUCUGUUAAAAAAUUGAUUCAUUUCAACUAUUAAAAAAUUGGCUUGGCUGGUAGAAUAACCAAAUAAUGACACAUGUCGUGCCACUUGUACCUCAUGCUGAUGCACAUUAACCAUUUUUUAAUAGUAGAAAUAGAUACAAUUUUUAACAGAAAGACCAAUUUACUCUUUGAUUUAGCGUAUAAAAAUUAAUUUACCUAUUUUUAAAGUAAAAGGGAAAAAAAAUCUAACACCUAAUAAAAAGGCAUCUAUAAUACUUUUACCGCCUUACUUUGAAUUAUUAUAAAAAUAAAAAUCUUCAAUAGAAAUCUUUUCUGAUUUCCUUCCUUAAUAAUAGCUUUUAUGAAUACGUAAUUAAAUAAAAUGGUACAAUAAUUAACAAUAUUUCUAAAUUAAAAUCAAUCAAAGACUAAUGCUCUCAUUUAAAUAAACAUUAUUUUCUCAUUUAUUGCUAAAAUAACCUAAUUUUCCGUGGAGGAUCAAUACAAUAAUUUGACGUACCUAAACCUUGUUUUUUUCUUUAACUACCAAAUUGAUAAAAAAUAUAAAGUUGGAGGACCGAUUUACAUAAUAAACCCUAAGUUACAUACCAUAUCCUUAAACUCUUUCAUCCAACCCUAACAAAAAAUAUGCUAAGUUCAGGGCCGGAAUUACCAUCAGGAUUCAUCAUGUAAUAAGUUUCCGAAUCUCUAGAAUUAACGACUCUUUCGAAAUGUGCGCGCAUGUAAGUCAGCUCGCCGUCAGGAUUCUCCGUCGCUUCGGCCGGUAUAACCCCGGCGCCCAUUGAAAUGGGAUGCAACGUUUGCAUCACCAUCAAAUCUUCAUCUGUCGGAUCUCUCUUUACACCAUAGCCUGAUUUUUUACCAUUGCAAUAUAAUGUCCAUAUUGGCUCUUCAAGGAUCUUGAUCUUCUCCGAUGGGCGCUUUUCGCAUUCGAGAGCGAUCCUUACGAGUCCUAAUCCCAUAUCUUGGAGGAGUUUCCCUGUAUUUAUUGCGAGCUCAAGGAUUAAGAUAGGGAGGCAUUUCGAGUUUUCUUGGAUGGCGAGGUUAACCCUUGCUUUACGGUACCCAAAUAGAGUUCCGGUCAUCCGUGUACCUCCGUGGAUAUGGCUGUCGUGUCCGUGAAGAUUGAUUGGGAUUUUGCACAGAGGCGUUAUGAUCGGAAAUGACCUGAAAACGGAACGAAAACGCCUAAACAUCUUGGAGGAUUUCGAAGAUCCUUUCUUGUUUGAUGGUUGUUGAAGAGAAACUGGUGGUCGAGAUUCCGACCGAGGACUCGCCGGAGAAGUUGUGGUAGAUGUAUCAUUGCAAGGUGAUAUUUCGGAAGUACUGUUUUGAGCUGCCAUGGAUGGUGGAAGGAGAGCGCUGCGUGAUGAUUGGAGUUACGAGUGGAGCAUAUAUAUAGUUGCAAGUGUAUGGCAUGCACGUUCUUCAACUUCACUUAAUGGGAACUUAUUUAAAUUAUUGUUGUUAUUAUUUUAAGUAAAUUAAUACUGACUUAUGGUUAGGGUUUUUAGUUUAGUUAACUAAAAAAUAGUUUUUUUUUUUUACUUAUUUUUGCAACCACUUAAAAAGUGUUAAAGCUUGACUAUAUCCAUCCAUAGUUGUAAAUCAUUUAGCUCCAACAAUAUUUUCUUAACAUUUAAUUUAAUUAUUAAAUAUUAUCGAUAAUAAAUUACCAAGAAAAACGAUGCAUUUAAUUCAUUUUGACUUUUCAUAUAAUUAUUCUAUACACUGUUAUGAAUUUAAAAAGUUUUAUAAUUAUUCUAUACACUGUUAAUGAAUCUUAAAAAGUUUUCAUAUAAUUAUUAUAUAUAUUGUUAGCGGAAUAAAAUGAAUUCUACAAACAAAUUUAAGAUAUUGUUACAUCAAUUUUUUUAAGUUUUUUAUUUAUUUAUAAAAACAUAUGGUAAUAUCUUAAACUCAUUCUUAUAUAACCUAUACAUUAUAUAUUUUAUUAGAGGUGGGAGUUGUUUGAAUACGAGUCUUGAUAUUCAUGUUGGAUCUCAAACUUAAUGUCAACAAAAAUUUAAGCAGUUUAAGGCUUAAUUUGGAUGGGCGAUAUGCUUACCUCUGAUGAGGAUAAAAACAAUAGUAGCGGUGAGAUUAGAAACAACAGUGAGAUGUGUGUUUGUAUUCAAACGCAGUUGCAGUGGUGAGAUAAGCGGUGUGAUGUAGUGAUGAGAUUAGAAACAACGACGAGAUAUGUGUUUGGAUUCAAACGCAGCUGUAGUGGUGAGAUGAGGAAGUAAAAUGACUAUUAAGGACAUUACAUCAAAACUUAUUUUGAAAUAUUUUAUUUUUAUAAAAUUAUUAAAAAUAUGUGAAAUUGUAAUUUUAUUUAAUAAAACAAUAUAUAUAACAAUAUUUUUAUAAAUAUUUUAAUUAAAUGUUUUAUCAUCAUUUAAAAUUAUUUAUUAUAUUGUUAAAUGAUAAAUUAAUAUGAUUUGAUGAUAAAUUAUUUUUACAGGAAUAUUUUUAAUGAUAAUUUAUUUAAAAUGAUUUGAUAUUAAAUAAUAAUUAAUAUUAUAUUUAUAUAAAAAAUAGUUUAAUUAAAAUAACAACUACAAUUAGGGGAAAAAGAAGUUGAAAGGGUAAAAUAGAAAUUACCCCAUUCCACUGGAGAUUUGUAUUUCCACGGAUGGCCUUAUCCCCCAAACAAAAAUUGAGAAUUGGUGAGGUGUGUUCUUUCUACUGUUGGUCUUUCAAACAGCCUCAAGUGAGGUAUGGUGAGAUUAAAGGUAAAUUCUUCUACAAAAGCCAACCCACUAAGGGACCCAUACUCAAGAACUCCGGAAGGCAUUGGUAAUUAGUUGGCCGAAAUAUACAUUCUAUCCAAACAAAAGCUUAACAAAGGACAAACUUGAUAAAACUUAAUAAAUUUAUUUAAAUUUUCAUUUAAUUCAAAAAAUUCAACCAUACUUAAUUUAAAUCUUAAAUUAAACUUUUCUCUUAAUUAUCUAUACUAUAUAUAAAGUAAUUGAUUAAGCUCGUAUCACGAGUUAACUCGACAUCAACUCAGCUGUGAAAUUACUAAAAAAUUUUACUUUAAAGGGUAAUUAAUAUUAUUAUAAAAGUAUUUUUCAUCUUUUUCACACUUUUAUAUAAGCUUAAAAAAUAACUAAAAAAUAUUAUUUGGGAAUCAAACACAAGACCAAUAAAUUCGUAUAAAAAAUCUAGUUAUAUUAUUUAUAAAAUAUUAGUUAUUUUAAAUUUAUAAAAAAAACCACAUUUAUUCACUUGCAACACUGGUAAAAAUAAAAUCUAGUUAUAUAACUUAAUUUGCAUAUAAAAUGGGAUUUAAGAAUUUUCAUAAUUGAAUCGGUCUCUGGUUGACCCGAGAUACCAACUCCAUAAAACAUUUGUUGAAUAUAUUAUUAGUGGUUGUCUUUAACUCGACAUAUAUUUCUAUUUUUUUCUCCACAAAAUAUAACAUUUUAAUUUUAAUUUUUUAAAUAUAAAUUAAAAGCAUGUGAUAGUGUUUUUUUCCUCCAUUCCCAUAACUUAAAAACUUCAAUGCUUAUAUAUGAAAUAAUUAUAAAUUAAAAUAUAUAUAAUUUCCAUUUUCUUUGAAAAAUAAUACUACUCUCCAUUUCUCCAACGUGCUUAGAAGUAUAUCUUUUAAUAAAACAGAUUCUGAGUAAUUUCUUGAUCUUUGAUUGGAAGGAUUCCAGCCGUCCAUUACUCAGAUCUUUUUUUGCGUUUAUUCUAGAAUGAUGGUCAACGUAAUCAACGACUUUGAACAAGUCUUACAUAUUUCACACUUUAUUAUACUAUAUCAAAGUAGACUUUUACUAAAGUAUAUGUUUUUUUUUUUAAAAAAAACCUUAACAUUGUACCAUAUAUUAUAUAAAUAAGUACAAGUUUGGAAAAAAAUUUAAUUAAUAAAAUAUUUUUUAUUUUUUAUUAUAUUAUUAAAUUUAUAUUUGAAAAUUAUUAUAAUAUAAUUUAUAAAUAUUAAUUAAAAAAUUACACUAAUUUUAAAAUAAAGUUAUUAUCUGAAUAAAAAAAAGUUGUGAUAAAUUACAAUUACAAUUUUUAGUUAAAUUUUUUUGACCUAAAAUAGAAGUUGUGCAAUUAUAAACAUGAAAUUUUGAUUAGAUUCAAUUUUUAUAAAUUAUUAACACAAUUAUUGAUAUAAUAUCAUUUUAUGUUUAUAUAUUUCAUACAUAAAUAAGUAUAUUUAACCAAUAUAAAAAUAAAGUAAUGUAUUUAUUUCUUUAAAUGUGUAUGAUUAAAUUAAAAUUAAAGUUUCAAGUAUACAUUUGAACCAUAAUUAGAGUUUCAUGUGUAUAAUUGCACCAAAUUAAAGUUCAUGUAUACAACUGCACAUUAAAUCAAAGUUUAUGUAUAAUUUUUGGGAUUUAUCUCCUUUAUUUAAAACAAGUUGUGCUAAUUUUAUUAAUGUGGAAAUAGAGUUAUUACUUAAAUACAUUUUAAGCCUCUUAAUUAUCACUUAAUGAAUGUUAGAUUUAAUUAAGUUAAUUAUUUAUUAUUUUAAUUAAUUACAUAAAGUAAAAUUAUAUUGUAUGUUGAACAAGUUAAAAAUGCUUUAAUUAUAAUUUGAAAUUUUUAUAUUAUAACAAUUGAAUUUAUAAAUUAAUAUAUUUUAAUUACAUUCCAUAACUCAUAUAAGAAAUAUUAUUUUAUGUUAAUUGUUGUAGUUAAAAUUAUAAUAGUUUGAAAAUUAAUUAAGUAAAAGUACAUGCAACACAUGUGACAUUAAAAUCUAGCCUAUAAUAUAUUUAUAUAUAUAUAUAAGCACAAGUUCGGAAAACUUUUGAUCAGACAAGAAUACUAUUUAUUUUUCAUCAUAUUACUAAAUUAACUUUAAAAAUAAUUAUAGUUUAAUUUAAAAUUAUUAGUUUAAAAAAAUAUGCUAAUUUUAAGAUAAAAUUAUUACUUGGAUAGAACCUAAUAAUAAAAUAUAGAAAAAAUGUGUGAUACUUAUAAUUAUAAUUUAAUUUAUAAUUAUUAGUUAAAAAUUUGAGGUAAAAAAGUUGUCUUAAUUUUAUUUUUUUAAUUAUGUUUAUUGAUGUAAAAUUUAAGUUUAGCUUUAUAAAUAGCAUCUUAAUUAUCAGUUAAUUAAUAUUACAAAUCAUAUGCCAAUUAAAAUUUAAGUUUAGCUUUAUAAAUAGCAUUCGGUAAUUAAGCAUAUUUAAUCAAGUAUCAUCUAAGAAAAAUUAUUGGUAAAAAAUAGAAAUUUUUAGCAUUACUAAGUUAGAAUUAUAAAAAAGAAUGAAAAAUUAAAGCUGUGAUUCUUCGAAGAGGCAAUAUUGAAUUAUAGUCGAACAACAAUGGCAUCAGAGAGUGGUUGAAGAUUAUAUUAAUUGAUGAUGGGGUAAUAUGAUAUUCUGAUAUAUAUUUUAAUUUUUAUACUAUGUGAAACAAGCGCUCUUAAAACCGUUUAUUUUUUUUCUUUUUAUCUAUUUGUUAUUUGUUUGGUGCAAGUGAAAAAUGUUUUGUAGAUUAUUUUUUUGAAAAAAAAAGUUAAAUUUCAACAAUUUUUUUAUCAUUAUUAUUAAAUAUGUUUAUUAAUUUAGUUCAAUUAUCUUUUCUAUUUAUCAUGAACUAUUAUUAUUAUUGCUGCAUGUUACUUUACCUAUUUUUAUUUUAUUUUUUCAAAUUAAGAUUAUAGUUUACUUUGUUAUAUAGUUCCAAAUUUGUUAUUAUUUAAAAACCAAGAUAAAUUAUCGUUAUAAAUUAUAGGCAAAAAUAAUUAAAAAUACGUUAUUUAAAAACUAAUUAAAAAUUAGACCCGUAAAUUUACAUGCAACACAUGUAACAUUAGAAACUAGUAUGUAUAAAAGCACGAGUUUGAAAAAACUUAUGAAUUGACGAGAAUACCCUUUAUUGUUAAUUAUAUUACUAAAUUGACAUUAGAAUAAUAAUUUAUUUAUACUAUUAUGUGAUAAUAAUAAAAAUAAUAUUAAUUAAAUAUUAAUUAAUAUUAUAUUAAUGUGAAAUUAAUUAAUUUGGUCAUUUCUUUUAAAAGUUUUACUUAAACAUAACAUAAGAUAUUAUUAAUUAAUAAAAUUAUAAAUCUAUAAAAUAAUUUAAUAUAUGCAACAUUCAAAAAUUUCCAAAUAGACACGUGGCACUAUUCCAGUAACAGAUAUGGUGAAUGUUUGAGGAAAUUUGAAAUUUCUCUAGAUAAAAGGAUUCUUGUUAUAAUAAAAUGAUUUUGGAUAUGAUAAUUAAUGGAAAUAAUUUUAAAAGUGAAAUUGUGAUAAGAGGACUAAAUUACAAAUUUUGAAAAGUUUAAGAACUAAAAUGUAAAUUUGGCCAAAAAGGGAAAAUAAGAGUUUUAUUGUCUAUUUGUCAUGAGAAUAAAUUGGAAAAUAAAUUGGUAUGGUGAAAAUCAAUUUUAGGACUAAAUUGGAAGGAUUGAGAAGUACAAGGAUUAAAUUACAAAUUUUCUAAUUUUUCCAAAAGAAAGGAAAAAUAUGUAAUUUUUACCAUAUAUUGAUUUAUAUUAAAGAUUAUCAAUGAAUUAUUAGAUAUGAGAUUAAUAAUUGCCUAUUAUUAAGAACAAAUUGUACAAUGAGUUAAAAUGGGCAAAAAGGUAAUUAAGAAGUCUCAUGUAUGUCCUGUUAUGUUAUAAUAUGCACACAUCCAGUUAUUUGUUAUGUAGUUGGAUUGUUUAGUUGAUAUCAGGUGAAUCCCAAUCUAAGACAUUGGCAAGCAGUUGAGCAUAAACUCAAGUACUUACGGAGAAUGAAUGAUUAUGUGCUUAUAUAUUCUAGAGAAGAUCUCACUCCUAUUAGUUAUACAAAUUUUGAAUUCCAAACAUGUUGGGAUUUAAGGAAAUUGACAUCAAUUUGUGUUUUUUUGUCCUAGGAAGUAGAGCCAAAGUGUGGAGAAGUGUCAAGUAAGGCUGUACUGUUAACUUCACUAUGGAAGCCAAAUAUGUGUCAGCUUUUGAGGUAAGAAAAUAAGCAACAUGGCUGCGGAAGUUCCUUACAAAUCUCGAAGUCGUUCCUGGUGUGGAAAAAAACGCUACACUAUAUUGUGACAACAGUGCAACAAUAAUUAACGCCAAAUAAACCAGAAAACACAAGCGAACAAAACACAUUGAUAGAAAAUAUCACAUCAUAUGAGAGGCGAUAGUAGAUAAGAUAGUGGAUAUAGUCAAAGUUAUAUCAAAGGACAACCUUGCGAUUCUGUUUACUAAGACUUUGGUGGUUAGAAGUUUUGAGAAAUAUGUAGAGGAAUGGAAAUGCAAAAUAUGACUUAUCUACUCCACUAGGGUAAGUGGGAGAUUAUCGGAGUCUAGUGCCCUUAGUGUAGUGAUAUCGUCUUUGUACUUUAUGUACUUGUAAUAUUUCAAACAAAUUGGUUUAUAUAAAUUCCAUCUUUAUCAUUAAAAUCUUUUGUAUAAAUGUCCUCGAAAGGUUUUUGUAUGCAAAACAAAAUAAAAUCAAAUCAAAUAUUAGAUCAUUGAUUAUCUAACGUUAACUAAUACUAAGCUGCAUUAUGUGGUCGAAUCAUAAUGCAAGAAGACAACUUGUAUUGGUAGAUAAUAUAAAUGAGUUUGUAGGCUAAUUGAAAUUGAGCAAGUUGAUUGAAUGACUAUUAUGUCGUUUAUUAAAGCCUAAUUGGUAAGAUGGCUUGUUUUGGGAAUUAGAGUGGAUGACUCAUAGAAGAUAAAUACUUAGAUGUGAUUGAUUGGACUGACAACACAUCAAACAAGACCCAAGUAAAAUAAAUCCAAGAUCUAUUUAUGGAUUUAUUUACUUGUGACGUUCUUAGUGUGGCUUACCUCAAUCUUGAGUAAGUGAUGGACUAUAUGUGUGUGACUCGUAUACUUUGAUGUAUUGAUAGCCUGAGUUCAAUUGGUAAUGGAGCCGAAAGCUAGUACAUUGGGUAUACGACUUUUGCAUGGCAUAACUUCACUUACAAUAGUGGAAUUCAUAACCCUAUAAAGGGUAAGAUAUCAUCUUAUUUUCAUUACAUGAUAGAUGGAAAAGUAACGUGGUCAUGGGUCAUUUGUCUUAAGACAAAUGAUUUAAUUACUAUAUGUUAGCAAUUUACUUUUUCAUGAAGGAAGAUUUAAUAGUUACCAUGAGAUAAAAUAUGAUCAUAUUGGGAAAACAAAUUUAUCCCAAAGAGAUUAAAGAUGUUUUAUGAGGGUAACACACAUACGACAAUGUCAUUGGAAGAACAAUUAGUAACUUGUGUAAUGGUAUAUAAUAGUAAGGGCUCAGUUAUGAUACUUUAGUGGAAUAACUUUAUGACUAAAUAAUGUUGUAAUUAAUAGACGAAAAGUCGAAACUUAAUUACAAAUUAUUUGAGCCCUAAUUAUAUAUGUCCAAAUCGAUCACUCCACUAGCUCGGUAUAACCUUGAAGGUUUACAAUAAAAUUGAUCAUAUGAAAAAUAUGAAAUGACGAAUUAGAGAAAUAGGUCGCAUGUAUCACUAUUCGCAUUGAAUGCAUUUUCUUGCUAUAAACAAGAGAUGACUCGGGAAUUAAUUAAUGUAUUCGAAUUAUUAUUUAAUUAAUUUACAAUUAAACAAUUGAAAUUCGAAGUGGAAAUUAAAUUAAUUAAGUCAUCAUAAUCUCAUGAGAACAAGUUAAUUAAAUUGACAUGCUCAUAGAUUCUAGUAUGAGAAAAUUAUUAUGACUUUAAUGGGAUUAGAAUUGAGUUGAGAAAAUAAUUUAAUUAGUCUAGUUAAUUAAUUUAAUUAAUUAAAUGAAUUAAUAUUUUGGGCAUAAGAAAUAUAUUUAUUGAGUUGGAUAAAUUAUUUGCGUUUACAUGAUAAGUCCCAUCUAAGCCAAAUUUAAAAGCAAAGGGUGAAACUCUAAUCCUAGAAAGGGUGUGUCGCCGCCCCUUACAUGUACACUCUUUGUGUGAGUCAUGUACUCAUGUUUCUUAUUAAAAUAGUAUUAUUUGGUUAUACCUUUUUUAUUGAGAUUCUUGUUAUUUUUUUUAUAAAUAGAGAUUAAUAGCUAGGUCAAAAAACACGCUUCUCUACAUCGAAAUUAUGUCAAAAUAUAAUUUCAAAACAAGUUCUAUCUUUUGAUAGAAUUUGUCUUUUGUUUAUAGCUUUGAAAGUUUCACAAAGUUUUCGUUGAUUUGUGAAUAGAGAUCACACUCUAACAAACUGAGGUUAAGAUUAGUAGAAAAGAUAAAAGUUGUUGAAAUUUGAGAACGAUUGAGUCUACCUAAUCUAAAAGCAUAGGUAUAAUUCGGGUAAAAUAAAUUAUUACUAUAAAUAUCACAACGGGUUGGUUUCAAAGAAAAUUUUAAAUUUUCAUUAUGCUUAUUUUCACUCUUUUCAAACCGAUUUUCCAACAAAUUAUCACAACUAGUUGGUUUCAAUGAAAAAUUUAAUAUUUCUUUCUGAUUAUUUUCACUCUUUUCAAACCGAUUUUCCAACAUAGGCAACUUUGCAGAAAUACCAAUCUAAAAAUUUAAUGAGAAUUGAACCGAAAUUGCGAGGGUGUUAGAGAUAAACUUGGUUCAAGAAGAACUGUUCUAGCAUACAAAAAUCUAGACACAACUAGAUUAUUGGAGGUAAUAGGAAUACCUAGUAUUUUCAUAGUCGUGUCCCUUCCCGGCAUCAACACAAGUAGAUAAAUGCUUUGAAGCUGCAGGACGGCAGUUGGUGCUAAGGUAAGGGGAAAUUACAAGCGACAGUUAUCUCCUUUUUCUUCUGAAACUGUAUAAAGUAGAUGGGCCUUGCAAGAGGUGAUACCCUAUCAAAGGAUGUUUUCCAAUUCUUCAUAGAAGUGAGUUGGAUAGACUUCGGUGUCGUGUUAAAAUGAAGAGGCAGAAAGCGCAUUGUUUGAGAUGGCCUCCCUAAAGGCACCAAGAAUCAAUGGCCUACAUGCACUGUUCUAUCAAAGUUAGUGGCCCGUGGUAUGUAAUUCUAUUUUCAAAAUGGUUAAAGAGGUAUUUAUUGAGGGUAGGUUGGAGGAGUUUUUGAACAAGAUGCUUUUGGUUUCGACCUUCAGUUUUUGUACGGUGCCUUAUAAGAUUAUUACGAAGGUGAUAGUUAAUAUAUUGAAACCAAUCAUAUCAAAGCUAAUUUGGGCUAUUCAAACAAGUUUUUUAUUAGGAAGAAGCAUCACAGAUAAUAUUAUUAUUGCACAAUAGGUCAUUCACUCGCUGCAGAGAAAUAUUCACAAAUCUUGGUGUUUAUUUGGGAAUGUCGUUCUUGCAUAAAAGAAUCACUAAUGGGACAUUUCAAUUUUUAAUUGAUUCUUAGCAAACUAAUUGUUUUGUACAGCAGCUUAUUGUCAAUGGCCAGAAUAGUGACUCUUGCCAUAUCGGUUUUACGUGUCGUACCUAGCUAUUUCAUGCAAACACUUUUAAUUCCAAUAGGUGUAGUGAAUGAAAUAAAGAAGGUUGUGCGCAAGUUUAUAUGGGAUCUUCCAAUGGUAAAUGGAAGUUAACUCUUGUUAAGUGGGAUACCUGCUGUGAACCGCUUGAAAAAGGUGGUUUGGGUUGCACCAAUUACCUGUAUAGAAUAAGUCAUUUCUGUUAAAAUUAAGGAUGGGCUUUCUCACUAAAAAGGAUGAGUUAUGGGUUCAAGUUCUUCGUAGGAAAUACAGAAUUGAUGAGCUUUGUCCUAUGAAUCUAAUUAGAGCAAGUUGUAUGGCUCUCUAUGGUGAAGAUUAAUGUUGAUGGGGCAAUUCAUAUGAUGAAUAGCUGGUCGUCUAUGGGUGGAGUAAUACGCGAAGCGAAGGGCCAAUGGAUAGUGGGGUUUCGAAAAGCUACAGGUAUGGGAAAAAUUAUAAAUGCAAAACUUUGGGCAGUCUUUACUGGUUUGGAGUUGGCAUGGAGCAAAGGGUUUAAGAAAGUGGAAGUGAAAAGUGACACUAUGCAGGUGGUAAGACUCAUUAAUAACAGAGGUUUAGCUGCAAUCGUGACUGAGUAUGGUAACUUUGCAAGCGGAAAUGACAAGUAAAAGUUCUGAGGUGGCAUCUUAUUUGGCAAAAAAAUGGAAUAGAGAUGUCAAACUUACCUGCCACAUCAUCACUUUAACUGUCAACAUUAGUCAAUAAGGUCUUUUUAAUAUGUUUUGGUAAUUUGAGUAUCUAAUAAUUGAUUGUAUAAAAAACAAGGGCUUAAUUGAUAUUUUAAAAGGGUUCGAGGAUUUUUUUAAACCUUUAAGCCUAAUUAAAAUCCCAAAAAUGUUAUAAUGAUAUAUUUGGUUCAUUGAUGGUAAAUUUUGAAAUAAACCCAUCAAAUAAAAUGCUAAUUUUAUUAAUUUUAAUAUUUUUAGUAAUAUUUAUUAUUAAUAAAAGCAAUUUGCUGUUAACAAAUAUGUAGUUUAAUCUAUUUAUUUUAAAUAAAAAUAAAAUAAUAUAUUCAUCUCAAAAUUAGUAGAUGUAUAAAUUUAAAAAUAAAAUUUAAAUAUUUAAUAUGUAUUUAAAUUAAAAUAUAAUUUUAUAGCAUUUAAAAUAAAUUUAAAAUGAAAAUAUUUUUAUAUGAUUUUGCGGUGAAAAAGUAUUAUACAAAAAAUAAUGAAAUAAAUAAGAAAAAAGAGGUAAUUUUGACUCAGAUAAAUUUUAAUUUUCUAAUUACAAGGGAAAGUUACUUACUUAUAAUUAUUUAAAGGAAUCACGUUGACAAUCCCAUUAUUAAGGAAAAUAACAUUCUAAAUAGGGGUGAAAUAAAAAAAAUUUGAGUUGAAAUUAAAUUAUAUAUUUUUUAUGAUUGUAAAAAUGUAAUUUUAUCAUUUUAAUAACUUAUAUUUUUAUAAUUUUUAAAAGAUUAAAUAAAAAUUUUAUCAUUUUUGAGACUAAAAUAUAAAAUUAUUAUUACUAAUUUAAAAUUUUAUCAAUUAUAAAAGGUCUAAAUGGUUUAAUUUUAGGGGACUAAGACUCUCGCCAACUCCCUAACUUUACCCCUGAUUCUAAAGAAAAAAAUACUUUUUAACAUAUUAAAUCGAAAAUUGUUAUCUUACUGAAUAAAUUCCUAUGAAAAUGCUAACUUUUCAUCUUCUAAAAUGCUCAAUUUCUUUUAUUUCCUCUUAAACACACAAACAAAAAAAAAUCUAUUUGAUUCCUCUCUCUUUAUUUCUCUUUCCUACCUUAAUCUAAUCAUACAAAGAAAAUAUAAUUUUUAAUGUUUUUAAAUUUUUUGAUACAUUAUUUUUUUUCUUCAUUUAGUUUUGUUAUAAAAAAUAAGACGAUAAAAAUAUACAAAAUUAUAAAGUUUUGACUGCUAUAUUAAAAUUUAUAUAAAUAUGAAUCUCAUGUGAUAGACUGAUAGUUAAGGGUGUUCAUUAUCCUUGAUGUAGCUUAAGUUUGAGUCGUGUUAGUCAUAUUUGUUGUUUACUUUUAUUAGUAGGAUAAAAAAAUUUUAAUUGAGACCUACUAAUUAUAAUAGUGACUUAAAUAUGUAAUUUAAAUGAUUAUAUUUAAAUCUAAUUAUUAAGUCAUUUUUAAAUCUAAGGUAAAUUUUAGACAUAAAAGAAUUUAAAUGCAGGAAAAGAAAAAAAUGAUUUUAUUUAAAAUUUAAUUUUAAAAAUAUAAAUGCUAAUAUAAAAUAUUUAUUUAAUUUAUUAAUUUAAAAUAACAAAAUGGAAUUACGAGAAUAACCUAAAUUCAGAUCAAACGAUUUCUUUAACCCAAAAAAAAGAGAGGAGAAAAGGAUUUCAAUUUUCCAUAGUCCAUUUACUCGUAUACCUUAACAACAUAACGUUUUCUAUGCUAACAAUCUCAUUUACUCCAAGCCUAGUGGCCACCAUAAAACUAAAAUCCCCAGCACUCGACCGCCGCCGCCGUCUCCGCCACCCUUAAUUCGGAGCUUAAAUUUUCACAGUCCACAACAGACGUUGUCUUAUACACUGUUUCCAUUAUAAUAUCUAAUAUAUUCAAACAUUUCAUGUUCAGUUUUCCAGAUUAUUCUUGCUAGGCCUGAGUCUUCUUCAUGAUGGUAAGUGUAACCCUACUUUCUUUAUUUAUUUUUUUUAAAAUAAUGUUUAUAUUUUUGGUGGUUUUUCUAAUUUUGCAACUGAGAUUUAUGAUUAUUAAUUAAUUUUCCAGGAAGCAUUCAGGAAAGCCAUAUUGCAGGCUGGCCCGCCGGAAACUUUUGCACUUAAGACGGUUCAAGAGGUUAUAAAGCCUCAGGUAUUUUUGAAUUUUUGCACUGUUUAUAAUUCCUUUAUUUAAUGAACUUCUUUUUACUUUUGUUUUUCCCGUUGCCUUUGUAUGAAUCUUCCUUGCAAUUCUUUGGUUUAUGUAUUGCUAUUAUUGGGCCUUUAGAGUAAUCAAUAUCGAUUUAUGCCUUAUUUCUCAUUCAUAUGUAAUAAUUUAUGAAGUGCGGUGGCAGUGGAGGUAGAGAUGGUAAAAGGCUUUGAAAUUGGGUGUUAGAAUCGUCUAUUGAGAAACAGAUUUUAAGCUAUCAGUUUGGGGAAAUAAAAUUGGACAUAUGCAUUUCGAGAUUCUCGUGAGAUACAUCCCCACGGUUAAAUGCUUCGCAGAUUUUAACAUCUAUAAAUUGUUAUCAUCUCUUGUCCUGAAAAACCAAGUUCAGUGUUAAGCUAAUCUUCUGUGAAAUUUACAAGUUUGGUGCCGAUUUCCUUGUUAUAAAUGGUGCCUGUAAGUGAACCUCAGAUGAGUUCUGAUGGCAUGAGUUUAAUGAUGUUGUGACUUAGGUACAGAUAAAUUACAUAUAUUCCGAUGAUGUCAUUCUUUUGUCUUCUUUUUCUUUUCUGGUUGGCACUGCUUAGUUUCAGUAUCUUGGUGAUUGGGCAUUUCUUGGUAAUUUGCUUCUUUCUUAUUAUUUUUCAACAGAAACAAACAAAGUUAGCUCAAGAUGAAAACCAAUUAUUGGAGAACAUGCUUCGGACCUUGCUUCAGGAAUUGGUGGUAUGUAAUCAUAUCUAUUACUGCAUUUAUACAAUUCUUUAGUCAUUCUUUCUAUAUAUACAUAUUCUCGGUCUUUAGCGAGUGUGCAUUAUGUAAUCUUGUUUUACAGGCUAUUCAUUUUGGAUGUUUAUCAGUCAUUCUCUUUAACUUCUUCUAGGUUGAGUAUUCUCUUUGUUAACUUCUUUUUCUUUCUUCUUUUUAAUUUUUCUUAUAUGAUAUGAAAGAAAAAUAAGCUGAUGCGGUAUAGCUUAUUAAACAAUUAAAACUCUAAAGGAUGGAUGGGGCUUUAGUUUCUUAAUUAUCUGUGACAAUUCUAGAUUAUACUAUCCUGGUCCUGGAUAUUGGGCAACUAUUAGCAAGCUGUUCCUUAAUCUUGUCUUUUGUCUUUCUUCCAUGCUCAAUCUUCCAUUCAGUUUCUCUCUUAUACUAAUAAUGUGAAAAAUGCCUUACAAGUAUAAUCUUUGCUAGAAACUUAAACUUAAACUUGCAACUAUUGCAUGGCAUUGGAAUUGUCAUUCUUGGUUCUGUGCUAUUGCUACCUGAGCAUGAAUUGUGUUACUUUUGAAUAUCUUGAUUGGCAGUGGAUAUGCUGUCUUUUCAAGUGAUGCAAAUAUUUACUUACAAUUAGAAAGCAUGCAUGUCUGUUUUUUUUCCGUUUGAAUCCUAAGACAUAAAAUGAUGGGUCACCAUCUACCCUUUCUCCAUCUUUAAAGUUCAAAAGUACAUCAGGCUAGUCAAAACUGGCAUAUUUCCUCUUAAUAAAUAUUAAAAAGAGAGAGCUUUUCUUAUAGAUGAUUUCAUUUUAGUUAGAAAGGUGGGGAAAGAGUAAUUUAAAAUAUUGAGAAUCAACUGUAGUGGAAGUGGAUAUGAGUUUGGAAAUAAUAUUUACGGAAUUGGAGUGGGAGUUGACUUUGAUGAUAAGUUCCACUUUCAAUAUAGUAAUUUAUAUCCCUGUAAAUUAGCUUAAGUUUGUCUGUUCACUAACAUGAACGUUCUUACUUUUUCUCAUGUGCAGUCAUCUGCAGUACAGUCUGGGGAGGAGAUAAUGCUGUAUGGGAAGUCAAUUGAUGAUGUUGAUGAAAUGCAGGGUGUAAUUCCACGACUUCUAGGUUUGUGAUUACGCUUUCCAGAUAAAGUUUUCAUAUCCGUUUUUUGUAGCCACUAUAAAAUUCAGUAUUGCAGUUUUCAUUAAAUUAUUUUACCUUCACAAAUCUCCAUUAGUCUAUGAUUUAACGUUACAAAUUUAAGUGAACCUUAGGGAAGUUGUGAUUUCUUCUAAACUGUUUAACAGGGUAAAAUUUAUAUUUACUUUCAAGUUACUGACAAGUUCAAGCAUAAGGCCAUAGGCAGGAAGAUAGCUUGUUAAUGCUUUGACGGUGGAAUUUUUCUCGUGUAGAAGAAUUAUGAUAAACCUAUGCAUACAGAUAAAUACAUUCGAACAUAUAAUGAAGGUUUAGACACAAGGAAAUUAGGUUUGAGGUCUAUAAAUUAAUUAGAUUGUGGACCAGGGUUAUAGGUUCUGAGAUUUGACAUUGAAUCAUUGGCUGGAGUUGGGAAGUUUGGUUAAUUGACUUUUUUAUAUCACCUUUGCUGCAUUAUGGUGCUUCUAAGUUGGUAGGAGUUGGUCUCGUCAAAUUUGAAGAGUUUAGGAUAUAAAAGACGCAAAACAGAGGUUUCAGUGAUAGAAGAGGAAUAUAUUAAGUUUCGUGGGCCUGUUUCUAUGUUGUGGUUUGUGAACACUAACUCAGACCUCAACUUAAAUGAGUAAUAGAAAAUUAUAGAAGAGCUAGAAGGAAUAAAAUAAUGGAUCAGACAUCCUAAAGUUCUCUGAGAUUCUAAAUUGACUCAAAUCCCUUUACAGAUCAUCUUUAAUAUAUCAGAAAUAGAAAUAGAAAAUAAGACCUAGCCCAAGCGAAAGAAAGACCGUAUAAAGGUCUCGUUAGCUUAAUUUGACUCAAGUAGGGAAGAAUAUGGGUCAUAAAUCAGAAUAAUAGGCCUGCUUUAUGGCAGAAAGUAACCAAAAUCUCUUGCACUCGGAAUUCAAAUAAACCACACAAAUGGCAGGCUAACUGCUCAGUGACCUACAAUGCGAUACCUUCUUCUGAACCAAAAGUAUAUUUUUAUUGUUUGACCCAUGGACUUAGCUCUUGGUUUUGUGGGGGUGAAGGAUACUGAGUCUAUAACCUAGUUGCAUAUGCUCGACUAGCAGUUAUUUAAACUCCUAUCAUUGCAUUCUCUAACCAGUGGUAAGUCAAGCACCACGUCAGACUAGCUUGUUAGUUUAUGGUGGUGGAAACUGUGGCUGCAUAUCUACUUAAACUCAGUUUACUUGAUACCAUCUCUUGAACCAGUGAGCUUUGCUUAGUUACUCCCUAAUCGAAUAUGCAUGUUUAAACAUAUACAGAUAUACCCACAUUCAACAUUCACACCUGAGUCCGAGUGACAUGUGUUCUAUCAUUUUGGUUGUUGACUUGGUUGUUCAUUUCCAUGUUCUAGAUUUUAUUGAAUAGUUGAGUAUUGGGGAAAAAAGAUACGAUCAUAGAUAUACUUGUAACUCUAGUCCCUCUCCAUCCCCCCAUUUUUUUCUAACUUGUCAAUUGUUUCAGUAGGAACAUUUCAUCUACAUGGGUAGUCAGACAGAAGCUUGCCUUUUAAUUGAUAUGCUGACAAUAAUGUGAUUGUUUGAUUACGAAUUUAAUCAGAUUCUCAGUUUACCUAUUUCAUUUGGUUAGAUGUUGUGCUCUAUCUUUGUGAGAAAGAACAUGUUGAAGGUGGUAUGAUAUUCCAACUUCUAGAGGACUUGACAGAAAUGUCUACAAUGAGAAAUUGCAAAGACAUUUUCCGUUAUAUAGAAAGUAAGCAGGACAUCCUGGGGAAGGUGCGUUCUUAAAAUCAAUUCAGGUUUUUGGUGCUGUCUAUAGAUGUUAAUUAAAAAUCGGGAAGUUCUCAUUCCUUAUUGGUUCACUACACUCCCUAUUAAGUGGUGUCCAUGUCAUGCCACAAUCAAUAUUUACUCAAGAAAAUUGAUGCCUGCACUUUUUUACAGCAAGAGCUUUUUGCUCGUGGAAAACUUGUCAUGUUGAGAACAUGCAAUCAACUUCUUCGUCGACUGUCCAAGGUAUGUCUUAAGAAUUUCUUUCUUCCUACAUGCUCUCUUUUGACAAAGCAGUGUUUAGUAGUGAGAAGAACUUCUCACCGGUGUUCUUAUACAUGUAUGUCAUGCUCCUGACUUCCUAGUGGUAUGUACACUUUCUACAUUAGAAUUUGGAGAACUUGUUCCUUAUCCGUUUCUUUGAAAGAAAACAACAACCAUUUUCAGAUCCCGUUUUGAAUUCCAUUUAGCUACUAUUUAGAUUUUGUGGUAUCAGGUAAUAGUUGUUUGCUGAUUCCUUAUGGCCAGAUUUAUUUAGUUUCCAUUACCUAAUAAACUAAAAACGUCAUCAUGCAUGAAGUCCCCAUCUAUUAUGGCAUAUGUAUGACCUGUAUGAACAUCCAACUCAGCCAGAGGCAGUAUUUAUAUUGGUUCCAGUAAUCUUGCUGGCAUUAUAUUGUCUUGAAAGUGACUUUUCUCCCUCUCUAGCCUUUUGUUUUUCUGUUCAAGUGUAUAGGUACACGGUUUAAAAAAAGAACCUGCUUGAUACCUUCUGUUUAUCUUGUUGUAUAGUUUGUCUAUCUCUGAUAUCAAGAAAAUAUCGAUCUCUUUGUUUCAACAUAUCUGAGAAUUCUAGAAUCAUGCAGAAGCAUCCAUCUAAGCAGUCAGGAUAUGAUGAUGAAUUUCAUUUUAUAUAGAUUUAUAAGUUUAAUUUGAAAAUUAUUGUGAUUGGCUGUUACAUUAAUUAUGUCACAUAUUAUUUUUUCUCUGAUCAUGAAAAUAAGUUUGUAAUGGUAAUUAUCGUUGUAAAAUGGCAGUUCUUAAGCAGCAUUUACUUUGAUCUGGGUACAGCAAUCCUGAAAUAUGCUGUUUAUCUGUUUCUCUAAUUCACUGUAACUUGAAUUUAUAGGCAAAUGAUGUGGUAUUUUGUGGGCGAAUCCUAAUGUUUCUGGCUCAUUUCUUUCCAUUAUCUGAACGUUCAGGUAGUUGUUUUAUUCAGCUUCAUUCUACUCUUCAAUUGUUAUUUCUGCUGCUUACUUUGUGCUUUCAAAUAAUGCUUGCAGCUGUGAAUAUAAAGGGAGUUUUUAACACAUCAAAUGAGACAAAAUAUGAGAAAGACCCACCUGAAGGUGCUUUUAACUCUGGGUUUGCAUUUUGCUUGCAAAAUUUUUGCAUGUUUUGCCCGUCAAUGUCAGCUUAAACUUUAAUUUAUAUGUUUUCAUUCAGGCAUUUCUGUUGAUUUCAACUUCUAUAGAACCUUCUGGAGUUUACAGGUUAGUUGUGCUACUUUGAACUUUUGGAUGUGGAUCUUAGCUUUUCUGAGUCUCUUAGAAUCUUUAUUGUUCAAAAUAGGCCUAAGAUUAGCUUUUUGCUGAUAUAAAUAAACUUCAGAGCUGCUGGUCUAGGUUAUGUAGUCAUUAGGUAGUAUAAACUGUCUGGUAUAGGUCAAACUCCAUUAUUUUUAAAACAGGGAGGAGAUAUAGUUCACUUUCUGUGCAUUGUAACAGGGACAGAUCUACGUAGGGUAUUGUGGGGGCUAAUGUCCCACUGAACUUUUAAAUAUUGAAAAUUCAAAAUUUUAGUAAAAUAAUAAAUUUGUCCCACAGUGAAGGUUUCUGAUGGAAAUAACUUUUUUGAACCCACAACAGUGAGUUUAAUGAAAAGGACCGUUUUACCUCUACAAAAUUGAGAAUUUUAAUGGAAAUGACAGUUUUUCCCUUACAAAAUUUUAAAAAUAGUUUUCCCAAUUAAAAUUUUGAGCAUAUAAAUUUUUCUCGAGUGAAGCAUAACUUAUUUUAGCCUCCCAUUAUUGUCUAAGAAAUGUGAAAAAAUUUAUUAUAAAAAGUAACUAAACAUUUAGAUAACUUUUCCCCAUUGACCUGAAAUCCUGCAUGGUAAACUGAUAACUUAUGUGGGAACUUCAAUUGCUGUAUGCCAAAUACAUGGGUUUAGAUUCCCUUGAGUUUCUGUUUUAGGAAUUAAUACUAGUUCUAAAAUGAUAUCCCACGAAGGUUUUAUUUUUUAGCUGUUUUAGAGGAUCCAGCCUUGUUCUUCCCAGCAAGGUUUCUACUGUUGCACCAAAGAACAAAGUUGCAUCCUGGAUAAAUAAACAUUUAUAAAGAUUUCAUCAUUCUUAAUCUGAUUAUCUUAUUGAACUUAGCUUUCUGAUUUUUCAGGAAUACUUUUGCAACCCUGCUUCCCUUUCAAAUGCUCCUAUAAAGUGGCAGAAAUUUACAGCUAGUUUAAUGGUAUGCCUUUUAUAAGCUCUGAAUGAGGGUUAUUUUUUAUUUUAAUCUUCGUGGAUAUCAAUUUUUUUGUUGCUCAGUUAUAAAUUGUGUUCAGCCACUGGGUAUUGAUUCGUGCAGGUUGUGUUGAAUACAUUUGAUGCACAGCCUUUGAGUGAGGAAGAGGGAGCUGAGAACAAUUUGGAGGAAGAGGCAACCACUUUCAACAUCAAAUAUCUUACAAGCAGUAAAUUGAUGGGCUUAGAGGUGAGAAGCAUUCAGAAGAUAAGAUAAUUUAUUUAUGGCAAACAUACUUAUUUAAUCUGUUGCCCUUUUGAAACCAGUUAAAAGAUCCAAGUUUCAGGCGCCACAUUCUUUUGCAGUGCCUCAUACUAUUUGAUUAUCUUAAGGUAAUAAUUUCUAUGUUUGAAAUAAUUCAUGUAUUGAAUAAGUUUUUUUUUCUUCCAUCCAUUAUAGUAGUUGAUAAAUUAUUUGUCUUUUCUGCUAGGCCCCAGGAAAGAAUGAUAAAGAUUCAUCUGAAAGCAUGGUUAGUAAUUUCUUUAUUUUUUAUGUUGUGUUCUGGGCAAUCUGCUAAUGCCCCUCUACUUUUUCUUAAACUUAAUUCCAGAAAGAAGAAAUUAAUUCUUGUGAAGAUCGAGUGAAGAAACUACUCGAAGUGACUCCUCCGAAGGGGAAAGAUUUUCUUCAUAGUAUUGAGCAUAUAUUAGAUCGUGAAAAGAAUUGGGUAAGCUUGAGUUCUUUUAUGUUUCUAGAUCAUAUCUUUGGCAUUGUUAGGGCAGUCACUUAUUUUUCCCAGAGUCUUUUUGCUCUUAGGUCUGGUGGAAACGCGAUGGCUGUCAACCAUUUGAAAAGCAGCCAAUAGAGAAAAAAACAGUUCAUGAUGGAGCUAAGAAACGGUAUGCUGAAUGCAAGUUAAUGUUCAUGUUUAUCAUAAAUUUCCUCAAACUUUGAGGUGUAUGUAGAUGAGUAUUCAUUCCAGGAGGGUGCAAAGAAAAUCAUAUUUCUUGCUCAAAACUUUUUUGUGUUUCUAUUAUCCAAUUAGCCUCCUACGUUUGGUGAUACUCUUGUUCUGGUUAAUUAAUUUUGUUUACAUAGUUUAAAUAUUUGUCAUGCUUGUGGCCUCUGUCCGUGUAUUCUUAUAAAAGAUAUAUCUUCUCCAAUCUUGUUACAGUCGGACAAGGUGGAGAUUGGGGAAUAAAGAACUCUCUCAGUUGUGGAAGUGGGCAGAUCAGAAUCCGGUGUGUACUUACCAACUCAAUGUUUUAUAAUUUUUCUACAAAAUAAGAGUCAAACAAACUGUUAAACCCCCCCCCCCCUUUUUUAGUGAAACAAUAUUAACCAUAUACUGGACAAACUUAUUGGUAAUGUUGUGUGCUGUAACUUAGAUCCAUCGCUGACUUCUAUGUUGCUACAAAUCUUAUUUUCCUUCAAAUACCCAUAUUUGACAUAUAUCCCAUGAACAAGGGAAUUGAGAUUUGGUCUUUCAAAUAUAUGUAAAUCAUGAUAAAAAUUUAAAUGCAUCCAUGUUGGGUACACACCCAUAUAUGUAACACUUACCCAUAGGUCAGAGUAACAUAUGCGUGGAAUUUUAUGUUUUGGGUGCUUCUUUGCUUAUCCUCCAAAUAGUCAAGUCAUAAAUUUUCAUGGCUUUAAUUCUUUCGUUUUCUUUUAUUACAAGUAUUUGUAUUAGCUACUGCUACUAUAUACUACAAUCGUGAGGGGCUUUUUUUAAGAAACUGAAAAGCUUUUCUCAGUUAGUUCUUGAAAAGAUUAAAAGCUAUAAGAUUAUUUUUUUAUCAAUUUGUGAUUCUGAUUAAUAAAAAUAGUUGAAAUGCGUGGGAAUGAUGUCAUGGAGAUUUAUGAUCCUAUAGUUGUAGUUUAAAAGUAUGGGACAUGAAAGAGUUGUUCUGUUAAUAUCUAGAGUCAUCUUUAUGAUUUAUAUUUUCUUUAUUUCAAUUUGAAAGGAACAAAACAUGUUCCUCAUGAUUUAAUUACCUAUUGGCAAGGAUCAUUCAUGACAUGUUGGACUCUUUAAGAUUCCAUGUCAAUUCUAUAAACUUUCUGACAUGCAGUCAGUAGCAUAAAAAAUUUAGAGGUUUGGUCACCAGUAGCCACAAGGGUAGUAGAGGUCCAGUCAUGGAUUUACUCUUAAUAACAUCUGUCAUAGGUUCCUUGGAGAUUUAUAUUUUCAAUUGGAGGCCAAAUUAUCCAUUAGACCUUGUCCUGUGAUUUUUGUUUUCUCUCCUGUUGGUUUUUGUUCCUCUUGCUACAUAACAGUUCUUACAUACAAUUGUUGCAACUUUGAGUUUUAAAUGGCAUUGGCAUUGACUAUUUCAUUGCACUAGCCCCAAUUCCAAGUAUUUACUAAGACUUUGUAUCAUAUAUUCCUCAAAUAUUUUAAAAGUCCAGGGCUAGAUCUGUAUGAUUGGAGUCAAAAGAGCAUUGAUGUCAUUUUUCCCUUGUGUUUCUGUGAUGUUUAGUUGUUAGCUACUAAUUAUUUCUUGCCGGGGUGCAUUAGUUUUAUGUGCUUCUAAAUCUGCAAAAUCUAUUUUGGCAUGUCCAGAAUGCUUUGACAGACUCUCAACGUGUUCGAACUCCUACAAUCUCAGAUUACUGGAAACCCUUGGCUGAAGAUGUAAGUUGAUACUGAUAAUUUGUUUCAACUUUCUUUUAGUUCUUUCAUGUUAGGAGAUUUUACACGUCUUUCAACUUUUCUGUGAUGCUGUUGUUUUAUUUUCAGCACAUAAGCUUUUAGAAAAGUAAUAAUAAUCUCAUCCUUGAAAUUACAGAUGGAUGAUUCUGCAGGAAUAGAAGCUGAAUAUCACCACAAAAAUAACAGGGUGAGUUUUGUUUCUCCGGACUUUUUAAUUCUCAUUCAGACCCAUACCUAUACCCUUAGCCAUAUAUAGACUUGUAAUAUAGAUGCAUGGUGUGCAGUUGGAUUGAUUAUUAUUAAGGACAUUGAAGUUCACAUGAUAUGCUUAAGAAACUUAACCUUUGACAUUUUUAGGUAAACUGUCCAGUCUGUCAUGGUAAUUGGAUUGAAUCAAUAUAUUAAGUUAUUCACUAGAUGCAUAAAUGCACUCAUUCUUCAUGCAUAUGGUUUUACCAUUGGUAUCAACAAACCUGCCAAGAUUUUCUUUUUUCUUUAAAUAAAACCUCCUAAGAUUUCCAAAUGUUUAUGCAUUUAGACAUCAAAAUGAGAUCAAACUAUCAUAACCAAUGUAACCAUAAGAUGUUAUAUUGAUCACUUUUCCAUAUAUAUUUAUUCAUGGAAGUUUACAAUUUUUUUUGAUGCAGGUUUAUUGCUGGAAGGGCCUUCGUUUUUCUGCUAGGCAAGACUUAGAAGGGUUCUCAAAAGUAAGUUAUGUUGCAUAUGAAGAGUUCUUACAUAUAAUUAGGUUAAAUCACUGAUCCUAUCAAAAUUUUUGUGGUGGUUAUUACAGUUUACCGAACACGGUAUUGAAGGAGUUGUUCCAUUGGAACUUCUCCCCCCUGAAGUGCGAUCAAAGUUCCAAGGUAAACCUAGUGACAGGUCGAAACGUGCCAAAAAGGAGGAGAUGAGGAGUACUUCACAUCAGGUUGAGGAAAGUCAGGUAUCUCUUUGGGAACUUUAUCUUUCCAUGUAUUUAUCAUCUCUGAAAAUAGGAGUGUUCGACCACACAGGACUUCUAAACUGCUUAAUCCAGAUGGUUGGAACAUAAAAGAUGCCUUUCAAUCUUAUUUUCUUUCUUUUCCUCGUGUUCAUUGUGAUGAUUUGUGCGGAAAUUUUCUAUUAUAUAUCUGCUUGGGGCUGGUAUUUCAUAAAUACAUGAUUCAUAGAGUGUUAACUAUAGGCUUAUCCUACAGUGUCACAGAAGUGAGCCAAAAGGAUGAAUAUUUUCAUACGCUGUGCAAGUCUUUUUUUUGUUUUAAAUCUUUUCCCUUAUUUUGCUGUCAUCUAGAUUGCAACACCGGCAAGUGAGAUUGAGGGAGAAGGAAUCAGAGCUGAUGCGGAGGCCUCUGUAGCAGUGAUGGAUACGGAUGUCUCAGCUGCAACAGGAAAUAAUUCCCAAGGGGGCACUCCAACCCCAGAACCAGAUGAACAUCAAAAGCAAAGCCCUGAUACAGAUGUAGGACAAGAAGCUGGGCAAUUAGAAGCAGAUGCUGAAGUGGAGACUGGGAUGAUAGACGGUGAGACAGAUCCAGAAGCUGAAUCUGAUCAUGUAGGAUGAGAUUCAACCUUCAAGGUAUGAAGAAAUAGUUUCUGCUUUCUAGUUGUUCAUUAAGGGUUCUUAACACUAGAUAUUGGGGAAAAAAAAGGAGAGUUGAGUGUUUGACUGAACUUGAUCCAAUUUUGAACUAUAAGUUCUGUAGUUAUUGUUCUCAACCUCAAUUGAAUAACUUCCUUCCAUAUUACUGGUGCAGAGAAGAUUAUGAAGUUUCCGAGUUGCUACAUUCUACGUAGCAAUUUGGGGUAAAGAUUAUUAUUCUGUACACCGCCAGUCGAGUAAAAAACUUCACAAAUAAACUUAAGUUAAUAUCAAAUUUCUUUUUUAAUUAUUUAAUUAUUAAUAUUUUACUACACCCCAAGUACAAAUGGUGUAUCUUAUACCUGCAUGUGGAGUUUUUUAUUCUAUUUACGGUGUAUCAAAUAAUAAUAUGAUAUAUAUACUCUCUUUAUUCAUUGCAUUACAAGUGAAAAUUUGGUAAUAUAUAAUUUCUUUUUUUAUUUUUAUUUUUAAAAAUUGAUGAAUCAAUUUGAAUCAUUCGAACUCAAUUUGGUUUCUUUCUUUUUAUUGAAAAAAAAUACUGCACAAAUGGUUUAUACAGUUAUUAUGUUAAAAAAAUCAUACUAUGUUAAAAUACUAAAAGAGCCCUUAAACCAUUACAUUUUAUUUAAACAAACCCUAUUAUUAUUUUUGUAGUCAAAUAAGCUCUUAUGAUUUUUAUUCAUGAAAGCCCUUAAUUUUAAUAUAUAGGCUAAUCUCAUGGGUAAAAAUCAAGGGACUCUUAUUAGGGACUUAUUUAAUUACAAAAAUAGUAUAAGAGCUUGUUUAAAUAAAGUGCCUAGUUUAAGGGUUUUUUUAGUAUAUUAGCUUAUAAUUAUCAUACAUAAUUUUCUUUUCAAUUUUCAAUUAUGAUACACUUUAUGAGUGAAAUUUUAUGAAAAAUAACAUAAAAUAUAAAAAUUAUAACUAUUAAAAUAUAAUUUAAUGAUUUUUAAAUUGAUUUGUAAGACCAUGAAAAAACGAUUUCAUUUAAAAAUUUAUUUCUAAUCAAUUCCAAUAAAAAUGAAAUUCAUAUAUUCACAAGGAAAAAUUCAAAUAAGACUCAAAUAGAUUAUUAAAGCUUCAAUUUAAACUACUAGUUUACAUACUCAUGCAUUGCAUUGGUUAAUAUAGUGUGUAUUAUUUUAAAAUUAAAUUAAUUAAAAUUUUUAGUUUAUAAUAUUAUUGUUUUAGAACUAUAGAAAAUUUUGUUUCUUAUUUUUCGAAUAAGUAAAUUAUUGCAUGAUAUUAGAGUAUGAAUAUACACAUGUUAGACUGUAAUUUUUGGUUGCACAAUUUAAAUUAUUUUUUAAUACCCUUAAUGGAUAAUGAAUAAAAGUUGUGAAAUAUAUUUGUCAUUUGAAUGUGAUCUUUCUUUCUCGAAUUUAUUAUUGGAUCGUUUAAGGGGUAUUAUAAAUUUGAGCUAAUUUGAAGCAAUAAAAAUAAGAAAUUCAAUUAUAAAUUUUGAUACUAUAAAAUGUUUAAAUACUAAUAAAUGAAUGCUUGUUUAAUUAUAAGUUAGUUUGAGUCGUUUUGGCAAUUAAUAUAGUAUCUCACAUUUGAACCAGAUAAUCAAGUCGGGUGUAGAGUGUCACAUAUUAUUAUGAUGAUUAUAUCUAUAAAAAAAAUUAGAAAAACAUCAUAAUAUAAGAUUGAAUGGAUUGUUGUUGGCAAUAAUGAAAUUACCAAUGGAUAAUCUCUUAAGUAGUGUUAAAUAGAAUAUUAAAGGUAAAUUUCAUAGAAAUAUAAAUGAUUUGAAAUUUUUUUAUGCUAUAAUCAUGUUUGAAUUGUAAAAAUUGAUUUGAAAUAAUUUUUUUAAAAAAUAAAAAAAGGGUUAAUAUUUCUAAAUUUGUCUAAAAGUAUUUAGUUGUACUUUUUUUUUUGUAUUUAGUUGGUACCACUAUAUUAUGUCACACAUAUUGUCUCAAUUUGUUCAAAAAGUACUUAAUUGGUACUUAAAUUUGUCUAAAAAAUUAUACUUUUUAAAAUUAAUUUAUAUUAUUUAAAAGAUUUUUAAAAUUUCAAUUUAUGUCCCCCACAUGUUAUAAUGAGAGAUUACUGCAUGUUACUAUAAGAUUGGCCAUCAAUGCCACGUUAAUAUAAACUAACAAUGUUAGUAUGAAUGUAUCAACUUGGGUGAUGGAAUACAAAUUCAGAUUCAGGUAUCAACUAAAUAUUUUUUUGACAAAUUUAACCUUAUAUAUAACAAGUAAUACAAUACAAAAAACUAACAAAUAGAAAAAUAAAUAAAAUCUAACUAACGCUUUGACCCAAAUGCACGUAUGAGUCGAGCCCCCUAUUUCUAGAUUCAGCCCAGUACCACUACCCAUUAGAAACCAGGUACCCGGUAUCCACCCACUACACCUAUCCACUACAAACAAGUACCCGAUAUCCACCCACCAUCAUCCAAACGGUCAGCCAAACAAAGUAAAACUCAAAUCCACUGCCGCAGCAGAGACACCAUUUUCGUUUCUUAUCAAACUUUUCCUUUCCUUCAAUUUUGUCUAAUUUGCUUCCUUCCCACUGCAUCAUUGAGCUAGCUUAAUCUUGUAUAUGAAGAUUAUGAGUAAAACUGUUGGAGAGAUUUGAAUCCUCAACUUUUCUGAGAUUUAUAACUUUGAGAUCCACCGCUAGGGUUAUUAAUAAAUAUGGAAGACAUGAAGUCUUCAGUGACAACUUCUGGUGGCGCAGAUGGCGAUGCCGUUGAAGCUAGAUUCAAUGCUUUGUGCAAGGUAGUGCUAUGUUCUUUUCAGUAAUAUUAUUUCAAGCAUUUCUUUUCUUUCUUUUUGUGUAUUUAUGUUUUUUAUGAUUUCCAGAAUGGGUUAUCUCUGGAUGAGAAAGCUUGCUCAAAUGCUACGAAGCUAUUCAAAGAAACAAAGCACCUUUUAACGUCAAAUGUUUCAGCAAUUGGGAGCGGAACGGUGGAUUAUUUUUAUUAUUUUAACUUCCUUUUAUAUGGAAAUUACUAAAGGGAGUUGCUUUCUGAUUAACUAACUUUGUUGCAUUUAUUCUGGAUUAGCUGGAAGAAGCAGAGCGAUUUUGGUUUUCAUUUGUCUUAUAUUCGCUCAAGCGGCUGAGUGAAAAGGUUGGAGAAAAUACGCAACAUGAGUCUGAUGAAAGUGGGUUUUCGUUAUGCCAGAUAUUGAGAGCUACAAAGCUGAAGUAUGAUGCUGUUAAUUUUGUGUAUAUAAGGGUAAUUUUUGUGAUCAAUUACCGGUUCAAUGAUGGUGAGUUUAUCUUAUUUUUGCAGUAUCGUGGAUUUUUUUAAGGAGUUGCCUCAGUUUGUGGUAAAAGCUGGUCCCGUUUUACGUAACAUGUAUGGUGAAGAUUGGGAGACUCGACUUGAGGUAUUAAAGAAUAUAGAUUUAUGUUUUCGCUUGUUUUCCAUUAUGUCUAUAUUUUUUAAAAAUUGUACGGCCAUGUCACUUCGAUCUGACUAUCUGCUUAUGGUACUUAUAUCAAUUAGGGUAAGGAGAUGCAGGCCAAUUUUGUGUACUUGAGCCUUUUAAGCAAGUAGGUACCCUUCUUUUAUAACCUAGGUUAUAAGAUGAUAUGUGCAAAUAGCUUUGUAAUUGCAUUGGCAUUUCUCCCCUUAUCAUUAAUAGGACUACAAUUUGCUAAAUUUGAUGGGUUAGUUUUAAAUGCACGAAAUCACACUAGUGAAAAAGGUAUAUUGCUUUUGGUUCGUCAACUUAUGUUCUACAAGGGUUAGAAUUGCAGUUUACUUUCAUAUUUUGUCUUGAACUUUGUCUGAAAUUUGCAAGGGGAGGCCGAAUUAUGGUGGUUUUAUAAAGUAUUUAUCCUCCACAAAGAAAAAAAAUUGUGUGUUGGGGGAGGGGGGGGGAUGUACUGUGCAGGAUGUGCAUACCAAAGAUGUUGGAAAAUAAAAUAGGAUAAUGAUGUCAUACAGCCAUACACGUGUCCUAAUUAUAAGAGUAACUGGUCAUGUGCCCUUGUUUAUGGCAUGUUUUGACUGUUGUCUUCUCCAAAUGGAUAAUAAAAUUAAAUUUAAGAAAGUGAUAUAAAUAUGAAAUUCUCAUUUGCGCAGAUUGCAGAAUUAUAUUUUAAAUAAUACAUUACACAGAAUUUGUACUACGCAUGUGAUAAAAAAAAAAAAAUUUCUUUGAGCAGCUGUAUCCUCAAAACCUCAUUUUUCUGGUUACUUUGUAUAAUUUUCCAUUUUGUAAAGUAAAUAACAUUUGCAUCUUGCUGUUUAAUGGUAUAAAAAGGUCAUACAAGCGUGCAUUUUGGGAACUCUUCAUGACAAGUGAUGCAAAUAUUGAGAAGCAGCAAAAUCCUACCAGUCCGCCAGAUUAUGUAUCAGAGUGCCAUCGAUUUGGAUGGUUACUGUUUUUGGCACUCCGCGUGCACGCAUUCAGUCGUUUUAAAGACCUAGUGACCUGUGCAAAUGGUUUUGUUUCUAUACUGGUCAGUUACGCAUUUCUUUUGCUUUAUUACUAGUUGAUUUAGGAAGACAGACCUGGUUUCACUAAGGAAUAUGUUCUGAUAUUAUUCGUACAUAUAAUGGAUUAAUUUAAUAAUUAUCAAAUAGAAUGCAGAGGUAGAGAGUUACAAUUACAUGUGCUUCAAAAGAUUCAACUCAACUAUGCUGUUGUCUUUGAUGCACUCUAUUCUUGUACAUUCCUAGCACAUUGAGCAAUAAUGGUGAGGUUAAUGUUUUCUUACCUUUUAAUAUGAUUGUCGACAGGCUAUUUUGAUUAUACAUGUUCCUCUUAGCUUCAGAAACUUCAAGAUCAAUGACUCUCCUCAUUUUGGUAAUUAUCUGCUAUUUCAUGGCAGUCAAAUUUUCAGAUCUGUCCUUUCUGAUAAAGAGAUUGCAGUUGUGAUUCUUCACUGGUCUUUAUCUUUUAUUCUGUCCGGUAUUCUUUACUGGUGUUUAGUCGUUGCUCUUUUACAUUCUUUUAUUUGCCUUUCCUGGCGGGGAUAAAAUUGAGGCAUUCCUAAUUGUUGACUUCUUUAACAUGUAAUCAUUCAGUUAAGAAAGGUGACAAAGGUGUUGUCGACUUGCUUGCGUCACUUUGCAACAUGUAUGAUGCUUCAGAAGAUGAUUUGAGGAAAACAAUGGAGAUGGCCAAUAAGUUAAUAGAAGACAUAUUGAAAAAAAAGCCAUGUCCAGCAGCUGAGUGCAAAGCUGAAACACUGGAAAAUAUUGAUACCGGUUCGUCAAAUAAGUCAUGAAUGCAAUUUUGGCAGCAUGCUUUUGUCGGUCGGUUUUGCUUGUAAUUUAUCUGAUCUUCUUUGAUGCAGAUAGCUUGAUCUAUUUUGAAGGUUUAAUGGAGGAACAAUCUCUUUCAUCCAGUUUGAAAAUUUUAGAAAAGGAUUAUGAUGAUGCAAUUUGUAAUAAAGGUGAUCUGGAUGAGAGGGUGUUUGUAAACGAUGAAGAUAGUUUGCUUGGUUUAGGGAGCUUGUCUGCAGGGGUUAUGAAUGUUACUGGUAUCAAGGUCUGUUUCAAAUUUGAGAAAAUGUAUUCUACUUUUUAGUUUUUAUGCUUUAUUUUGCGGUCAGUUUAUUUAAGAAAGCAUUUAUUCUGUUUUGAGUAGAGGAAACGUGAUUCAGUAGCUUCACCAUCAAGGUCGAUCUCAAGCCCACUGUCUCCUCAACGCCCUUCUGCAUCUCAUGCAAAUGGUGUCCUUGGGCCGCCAAAUGUAAAGAUGGCAGCUACACCGGUCAGCACUGCAAUGACAACCGCGAAAUGGCUUCGUUCUGUUAUUUGUCCACUUCCUUCAAAACCUUCAGCUGAGUUGCAGCAUUUUUUAUCAUCUUGUGAUAAAGAUGUUACCAAUGAUGUGAUAUGUAGGGUGCAUAUAAUAUUGGAAGCAAUAUUUCCUAGAAAUCAAGAGUGUAGUGUAACUGGAAGCCUUCAGAGUGUAAACCUGAUGGAUAAUAUAUGGAUGGAACAACGAAGACUGGAGGCACUUAAGUUGUACUAUAGGGUUUUGGAAGCUAUGUGUACUGCAGAGGCCCAAAUAUUACAUGCACCUAAUUUGACCUCUUUAUUAACUAAUGAGAGGUUUCAUAGAUGUAUGCUUGCUUGUUCUGCUGAACUAGUGCUGGCAACACAUAAGACUGCCACAAUGUUGUUUCCUACAGUUCUGGACAGAACUGGUAUUACAGCCUUUGAUUUGAGCAAGGUGAUAGAGAGUUUUAUUAGACAUGAGGAGUCUCUACCAAGGGAACUGAGGCGGCAUCUAAAUUCUCUGGAAGAGAGGCUUUUGGAGAGCAUGGUGUGGGUUAAAGGUUCCUCAAUGUACAAUUCUUUGAUAGUUGCAAAACCUGCCCUAUCUGCUGAAAUAAAUCGUCUUGGCUUAUUGGCAGAACCAAUGCCACCUUUGGAUGCAAUUGCGACACAUAUAAACUUUUCUGGAGGAACACCUCCGGUGCCUUCUUUGCAGAAGCAUGAAACAUCAACGGGGAAUGCUGGUAGCUCAAUCUUAGGUAUGCAACAUUGUUAGCUUAAUUUUAGCAGUUAUAUUUUCAGAUAUGGUGAAACUGUGAUCAGUAUGCCAAUUUUCUUGUUUAAUGCAGUAACUUGUGUUACCGGAUUUUAUUAUGGUUCUUUCUCACAAUGUAUUCUAUCCUGAACUUAAUUUACAUUGUCAUGUUACUUUUGUCAGGACAAAAUGGGGAUGUCAGGUCUCCCAUGAGACCUUGCACGGAGUUGAGGAGUGUGUUGGUUGAACGGAAUGCUUUUACAUCACCAGUGAAGGAUCGUCUAUUAGCAUUAAGCAACCUUAAGAAGGCUCCUUUGCAAUCUGCAUUUGCCAGGUAUUGUAGGGUACAAGUUCUAGGGAAGUAGAGACCUGUACUAAUUGCACUGGCUAACUGCAUUUUCUUUUUGGGUACUCUUUUUGUAGUCCGACACGUCCUAACCCUGGUGGUGGAGGAGAAACAUGUGCGGAAACAGGAAUAAAUAUAUUUUUUAGCAAGGUAUCAAAACAUGAGAUGAAUUAGACUUUUUUUAUGAAACUAUGGUGUACCUUAAUACACUUUUAACUGGUUCAAAAAUUUAACCUCCUAGUACUUGAUUGUAAAAUGUAAAUCUACUGCGAUAUAAUUUUCUUGUGGCAAAUUGGCCACAAGUACUUACUAUUGAAUUUGAUUUAAAUUCAGUGGUUAUCAUCUACUACAUGUCUUACAUUUUGCUUUUUUUUUUUUUUUUGCACCGCCCAGAUUAAUAAGUUGGCUGCUGUCCGGAUUAAUGGUAUGGUUGAGAGGCUACAACUGUCUCAACAGAUAAGGGAGAGUGUGUAUUCUCUUUUCCAAAAAAUACUUAACCAGAGGACUUCUUUGUUCUUUAACCGUCAUAUUGACCAGAUCAUCCUUUGUUGUUUCUAUGUAGUCGCGAAGGUCUGCGCUUCUUAUGAGAUCAUUUUAGCCGCAGUUAAAUUUAUCUGCACUAUUUCCUCUUACUUCCUGAAGGAAUGACUUGCAGAUAUCUCAGUUGCGCCUGACUUUCAAAGAAAUUAUUUGCAACUAUAGGAAGCAACCACAAUGUAAGCCACAGGUUUUCCAAAGUGUAUUUGUUGACAGGUCAUCUGCACGAAGAAAUGGGGUACAAUAUCUUAUCUCCAGUUUCUUUUCUCCCUCCUUUUCAAGGAAAUUUUAACCAUUUUAAUGAUAUGUAAACAGAGAACUGGGCAGGACAAUGUUGAUAUCAUUGCAUUCUACAACGAAAUAUUCGUUCCUUCCAUAAAGCCUUUGCUGGGAGAACUUGGUUCUGCUGGAACAACCACAAGAACAAGUAGAGUUGCUGAAGCCAACAAUAGUAAUGAUGGUAAAUGUUUCAUUUAGACCAUUAUUGUACCCAGGUUUCAGUUUUAUAUUCUGUUCUUGCUGCAUCUGCAGGCUAUCUAAUUUUACUUGUUCUAUCUUCAUUUUGCCUAAUUAGGUACAUGCCCCGGAUCUCCUAAAGUUUCUCCUUUUCCAAGUCUCCCUGAUAUGUCCCCAAAGAAAGUAUCUGCAACACAUAACAUAUAUGUGUCUCCAUUGCGGACAUCCAAGGUACUUAAAUCUUUUUUUCUUUUUUUGGUCUCUCCAUUGAGUUGACUUUGAGUCGCCAAUUUUACAUUUAGUAGAAAAUCAGACUCGUACUUUUAAGAUUUGACCUGCCUUCUAGAGCAAACAGGAAAAAGUUUAGUUGAUUGCUUAGAACUGCACUUUGUCCAAGAUGCAGCACUUGUAAAAGACCAAUAAAAGAAAAAGAUCCUAUAAAAGUUCCAAUAUUAAGUUCUAUGAAUCUUGUAGAAAAAGUUGAAUCUCGGGUUAUGACUCUUGAUUGACUGAACAAGGUAUGAUAGAAAAUUAUUCUAUUUUUAGCUUUUGGCAUUUGAAUCCUAUGUUACUCGGGCUCUCAGGUUUGAGUGUGUGAUAUGGGAAUGUUUCUGGGAUGGGUAUGUUCAGAAUUUUCUAGUUUUUUCAUGUAUCUGGAAGGCUUUUUUAGGCUAUAUCCUUGUACAUGGUUUGAUAAACAUGUGUAUAGAUAUAUGAGACUGGUGUCUGAACAUGGUACAUACAAAAAAAAAAAAAAAACCUAAGAGUCUUGAGUAAUAUAGUUGGUUCCAUAGGAAAGAAGUAUGUGCCGUUGUUUAUUAAUUAGAUCUUGUUUUCAUUUACAGAUGGAUGCUCUAAUCUCGCAUAGUUCAAGAAGCUACUAUGCUUGUGUUGGAGAGAGUACUCGUGCCUAUCAGAGCCCUUCGAAAGACCUAACUGCUAUCAACAAUCACUUGAACGGGUAUUCUUCUUCUCUCCCUGGGUAACAAUAUUUUUUUUAAGCAUAGAAGUUCUUGGGUGAAAGUACCUACAAAAGCCUUCUAUUAUCGGGAUUGAAUCAAAUUAGUCUCUCUACUAUUAAUAUGAAUUCCUAUAUUAAUAAGGCUAAAAUGCAACAGAAUUAAUAUUUAUUGAUUAAAGAAUGAUAUAUAUAUAUUAUGUAAUUUAUAAUAUAUAAAAAUUAAAUCUAUAAUGUAAACAUUAAAAAUUUUAAGAUAACUAUAUACAAAUUUUUAAUAAAUAAAAAAAAUGAAACUAUUAAAUAUCAAAUUAAAAAUAAUAUAAGCGUGCUUGAAAUUCUAAUCAAACUCGAACAAUAAUAAAAUGUUUUAAUAACAUGCCAAGGUCCACUCAAAACCCGACUUAUCCAUGAAUACAUCCUUAAUUUUUUUUUUCAAGAAAUUUGUAAUAUUGAGUGUCAUGUAAUGGAUUCCAUAAUAUAUGAGCAACAAGCAUAUUGCAAACUUAGGUUGGAAUUGAAGUUUUUGGUGAUUGAACAAUUGAUGAUGUUAUCAUCCCGAGCUUGAGCUUUUUUGGGAUGAUAUAAUAUGUUAUUGUCCAUAAUAAAUUAAAUACGAUAAGAAUUAAAACAAAUAUAAAUAUGAAAAUGAAAAUGAUGCAAUAAAAUGUAUGUAUAUAAAAGAAAGUAAUUUUUUCAUUUACAGUUCUACUCUAAAAAGAAUAUUUCAUUUGCCAUUAAAAGCUUGGUUGAAUUGAAAAUGACAUUUUUUAAAUAGUAAAUAUGAACUCUGUUGAAAUUUGGCCUUAAUUGAUUCUUUUUAAUAAUACAAAGACUAAAUUGAUCUUAGAUAGGCUAAUUUAAUCUGGUCCAUAUAAUAAAAAGGACCUACCAAGUACAUUCACCAAAGUUAUCGUGAUGUACUUAAGUAAUGAAGCUGCCAUUUUCUUUGUUGCUUCCAGUGGCAGGAAGAUCAGAGGGGCACUCAACUUCGACGAUGUUGAUGUCGGCUUGGUUAGUGAUUCUAUGGUUGCAAAUAGCCUUUACCUGCAAAAUGGGAGCUGUGCAUCCUCAUCCGGUGCACCUUUAAAAUCCGAGCAACCAGAAUCUUAGCCCAGCGUGCUCUUAUUCCUUGUAUAUUCUGCCCCUCUCCUGUAUUCUUGUUAGCUCUUAUGUAUGAAUGUAAGUUCAUCACACGAGGUACGUAUGAGCGGUGUGUUACUGUAGAAUAGCCGCCACCUUCCCAAUGUGUUCACUGAUGUUUGCUAACAGUACUUUGAAGCUUGGCCUAACAAAUUGAAUAAAGUUUUGCCUUUAUUUACCCGAUUGUAGCCAAAUGGUACCGCUGAUUGAUCAUCAUUUAUAUCGGAAUCACAGUGCUCCUUCAAGGGGGCAAUUUUCUUUGGGAAUGUUUUAGGAGAUUUUUAGAGGUCAAUUUCUUUUUUAACAGUAUCUUCUAAGGUAAAGGUGAUAAAGGAGGGAUAUAAAUAUAUGAAUUUGUAUCACUUGUUAAAUCAUCUUAAAUGAAUGAAAAUGUUAAUGUUAAUGUCUGUAACCAUUCACGUGAUAGUUAACUUAUAAAAAUUUAAAAAUAUAUAAAAAUAUUUUUAUACUUUUUAAAAUAAUUUUUAAUUUUUAAAAUGAUUUUAUAAUUUUUUUGAAUUUUAAAAUUUAAUUAGUUAAUAAGUUUUUUUAUUUAUUUCUGGCGAUUUUACAAAAAAUGCUAGUUCAAAAGCUAAUUACAUGAAAAAAAUAAAUAGAGGGCUAAAAUAAUUUUAAUUUAUUUUGUAAAGUUGAAAAAUUAAAUAAUUUAUUAUGCUUAGUUUAUUUAAUGACACAUAAUUCAAAUUAUCAUCUAAUUUUAAGAUUUUAAAGAAGUUAUCUAAUUAUCUAAAAUGUAUAAUAUAUAUUAAAUUUUAAAUAUAUAUUUAAAUUUCUUAUUUGCUUCGGUUUAUAUAUAUUUUAAAUUACCUAAUUUGUUUUUUUUAAUAAAAAUUCCUAAUUAUCUAUGUAACAUUAUUUAAGUUAAAAUAAAAUUUUAACAAUUUUUAUUAUCAUUAUCUGACUGCAAACAUUACUAACUUAAUUUAAGAUUUUCUUCUAUAAACAUGAUUUGAGCUAAUUUUAUAAUCUUGUAACAAAUUAAUUAUUAUCAAAGUGUUAUAUUACAUAUUUAAAAUUAUAAAAAUGGAUUAAAGUUUCACUUUACAAUAUUAUUAAUAGACAAACUUUUAUUAAUUGUUAUAAACAAGCGAUUAAUAAUAAAUUAAAUUUUAUAUGUAAUAUUUUUUUAAUGAAAUGUGCGUGGUAGUUAAUUUUUUAGUUAUUAAAAAUUAGUUUGAUGAUAUCUUUAAAAAUAUGGGAAGUUUAGGUUUAAGAAAAACAUAAUUACAAAUUUAAAUAAAUAAAAUUUUCAUGUGCAUUGCAAAUGUUACAAAAUUAGUUAUAUUAAUUUUAUAAUGAAAAUAUAUACUGUCAUAAUUUUAUGAUGUCACAAACAGUUUUUUUACCUUAUUUUAUAAUAUAUAUUAGUUUUUUAACCGUGCAAUGAAUUCAUUCAAUUUAGCCUUUUUUCCUUUUUGUUCGACAAAUCCUAACUUGAUAUUGUUUCAAAAAUAUUCUUUUCCUUUUUUUUUUUAAGUUACAACUUUCAUUUUGGGGUGUGCACUUUUGUUUUCUUCUUAUAGCUUUUUUUUUUCUAGAUAAAAAUGUUUACCUACACCACGUAAAAAAACCAUCAUCAAUAUCAGAAGGCUUAGAAAUUGAUUCUCAACUUUUAUGCAGAGGUACACAAAUCAUGUUAUUAGCACUGUUCCCUCAUUCUUAUUGACAUAACACAUGAAUGAGAAGUUUACAGCUAUAGUGUUCCCUAGCUUGGCCAUCGGUAAUUUAUCAUGAAGAAAGCAACAAUCAAGUUGGUGGAAUCCAAAAACUAAGCAAAAACUGGAAACUCAGAUUCCCACUAAAAUCCAGUAUUUUUGGUAAGGAGAAAACAAGCAAACCAUAGAAGGAUUGGCAUUGUAAACUAUACUGUAGAGGAACCAAAAACAAAAUUUAAUCCAACAUGCAUGAUGAUUUUGAGGUUUUGGUUUUUCCAAAUCCAUGUUGGAAUACAUUUUUCAUAAAAAUAUUCAGCAUCAAAACUCUGGCUCCCAACAGUAAGUCACAGAACUGUAGGAGAAGAUGCGCCACCUUAGCUCCAGUCUCUGGAGGAGGAAACAAAUCAAUCCACCUUUUGCAAGCAACAAUGCCAGAGGUGCUAGGAUGGUCCUCCCGUUGGCAAUACCUAUCUAGUUCAUGUUGUUCCUGAAAUUAGUUGUACUAAACUAAAUAAUAGAAGAUAAUGUGUUUUAAUAUAUUCGAACCUGCAUCCUUUUACAUUGGUAACAAUGUUCAUACCAAUCGAGUUAAGAUACAAAAACUCUUUUAAGAGAUAAAUGAUUGGUAAUGAAAUGUAUUUUAUUCUUUUGAACAGAGAUCGAAUCUUUAAUAUCAUAAUUAAAAGGAUAAAAUAAGUAACGACCACACUACAUUUUAUAAUUUAGACGAGUUGGAUGGUUUAAACUAUUAUGAAAAUCUACAUAAAAUGGUGUACGCUUAUAAUGUAAGGUGUAAGGCCUUACGUGCCUAAGCAUCAGUGACGUGGUCCUACAGAAAGGUCUCUGUGGAUGCACUCAUCCUAACAUUUCACUCACAUAAAACGACACAACUUCUUACCGCUAAACGACACUAUAAAAAAAAACCCUUUCAGUGGGCCCCAUACUCACACGAGUCUACCUGACACUAUCUCUUCCCCAUUUUCAAGACUCCGACAACAGCUCGGCCCAACUCACCAACUCUCCGUUAAAUUCACCGUGACGGAGAAAACGCGAAUCCUUUACCGAUCUUUUCCAAAGCGGGAAUCUCCGUUACGGCUAGAUGUUAAAGGAUUUUGGCGGUAAAAUCCAAUGGCGGCAACAGUACGCGUCAAAAAAUAAUUGGCUAGCUAUGAAUGUCAUGUGCAUGGUGCAUGUCCAUCAUGAUGUUAUGUUGGUUAAUUUUCCCGCGCUAAAGAGCGAAAGAUCCUUCAUUGAUAGGGUUUUCCACAAAAAGAAGCCCAAGGUUAAAAAGAGAGAAAAUAUAUAAGAAAAAAAGGGGAAAUCUUAGGAUUCUUGUUCCUAAUCCAAAUUAUUAAAGAACGAUUUUUUCCCUUUUUAUUUCUUCUCGAUCCCUUAAAACGCUAUGUUUUGGGCGGGGAAUUUGAAGCUAGGGUUUCUGGUUUGCUGGAUCGUUAGAUCCGAGAUCUCAACCUAAUUUCAAGCCUAAAUUUUGUAAGGUUUCUUUGAAUAUUGUUUUAUUUUUUUCAACUUUUUGCUUUUCACUCUUGAAAAGUAGUUCGCCAUUUCCAGAAGUAUAAAUGAUUUUUUUACUGAUUAUUACUUUUUCAUUGUAUAGUAAUAGCUAAAAAUUUUGAAAUGUUGGCAUAAACUUUUAUUUUGAGGCGGAGGUUUAAGUUGCUGUUAUGUAUCUAUAGAUUUAGCUAGUUUAGUCUUGUAUAUGCUGAUUAAGAGUAAAAUUGUUGGAGAGAUUUAAAUCCUGAACUUUUCUGAAAUUGAUAACUUUGAGAUCCACUGCUAGGGUUAUUAAUAAAUUUGGAAGACAUGAAGCCUUCAGUUGCAACUUCUGGUGGCACAGAUGCUGAUGCCGUUGAAGCUAGAUUCAAUGCUUUGUGCAAGGUAGUGAUUUGUUCUUUCCAGUAAUAUUAUUUCAAGUAUUUCUUUUUUCUUUUUGUGUUUUUUAGUGUUAUGUUUUCCUGAUUUCCAGAAUGGGUUAUCUUUGGAUGAGAAAGCUUGUUCAAAUGCUAUGAAGCUAUUCAAAGAAACAAAACACCUUUUAACGUCAAAUGUUUCCUCAAUUGGGAGCGGAACGGUAGAUUAUUAUUAUUAUUAUUAUUAUUAUUAUUAUUAUUUUAACUUCCUUUUAUAUGAAAAUUACGAAAGGGAAUUGCUUUCUAAUUAACUAACUUUGUUGCAUUUAUUCUGGAUUAGCUGGAAGAAGCAGAGCGAUUUUGGUUUUCAUUUGUCUUAUAUUCGCUCAAGCAGCUGAGUGAAAAGGUUGGAGAAAAUACGCAACAAGAGUCUGAUGAAAGUGGGUUUUCGUUUUGCCAGAUAUUGAGAGCUACGAAGCUGAAGUAUGAUACUGUUAAUUUUGUGUAUGUAAGGGUAACUUUUGCGAUCAAUAACCAUUUCAAUGAUAGUUUAUUUUAUUUUUGCAGUAUCGUGGAUUUUUUUAAGGAGUUGCCUCAGUUUGUGGUAAAAGCUGGUCCCGUUUUAAGUAACAUGUAUGGGGAAGAUUGGGAGACUCGACUUGAGGUAUUGAAAGAAUAUAGAUUUAUGUUUCCGCUUGUUUUCCAUUAUGUCUAUAUUUUUUAAAAAUUGUACGGCCAUGUCACUUCGAUCUGACUAUCUGCUUAUGGUACUUAUAUCAAUUAGGGUAAGGAGAUGCAGGCCAAUUUUGUGUACUUGAGCCUUUUAAGCAAGUAGGUACCCUUCUUUUAUAACCUAGGUUAUAAAGAUGAUAUGUGCAAAUAGCUUUGUAAUUGUAUUAGCAUUUCUCCCCUAAUCUUUAAUAUGACUACAAUGUGCUAAAAUUGAUGGGUUAGUUUUAAAUGCACGAAGUCACACUAGUGAAAAAGGUAUAUUGCUUUUGGUUUGUCAACUUAUGUUCUAUAAGGGUUAGAAUUGCUUACUUUCAUAUUUCGUCUUGAACCUUUCCAGAAAUUUGCAGGAGGCCUAAUUGUUGUGGUUUUAUCAAGUAUUUAUCCUCCAUAAAGCAAAAAAUUUGUGUUGGGGGGGGGCGGAUGUACUGUGCAGGAUGUGCAUAUCAAAGAUGUUGGAAAAUAAAAUACAAUAAUGUUGUUAUACAUCCAUACAUGUGCCAUAAUUAUAAAAGUAACUGGUCAUGUGCCCUUGUUUAUGCCAUGUUUUGACUGUUGUCUUCUCCAGAUGGAUGAUAAAAUUAAAGUUAAGAUAGUGAUAUAAAUAUGAAAUUCUCACUUACGCAGAUUGCAGAAUUAUAUUUGAAAUAAUAUAUUACACAAUUUGUAUCGCGCAUGCUAUAAAUUUUGUUUUCUUUGAGCAGCUGUAUCCUCAAAACCUCAAUUUUGUGGUUACUUUGUAUAAUUUUCCAUUUUGUGAAGUAAAUAACAUCUGCAUCUUGCUGUUUUGAUGGUAUAAAAAGCUCAUACAAGCGUGCAUUUUGGGAACUCUUCUUGACAAGUGAUGCAAAUAUUGACAAGCAGCAAAAUGCUACCAGUUCGCCAGAUUAUAUAUCAGAGUGUCAUCGAUUUGGAUGGUUACUGUUUUUGGCACUCCGCGUGCACGCAUUCAGUCGUUUUAAAGACCUAGUGACUUGUGCAAACGGUUUUGUUUCUAUACUGGUCAGUUAUGCAUUUCUGUUGCUUUAUUACUAAUUGAUUUAGGUAGACACUUGGUUUUACUAUGGAAUAACAUGUCAUCUCUUUCUUCUGGUCAAACAUGUUCUGAUAUUAUUCGUAUAUAUAAUAGAUUAAUUUAAUAAUUAUCAAAUGGAAUGCAAAGGUAGAGAGUUACAAUUAAAUGUGCUUCAAAAGAGUCAACUCAACUAUGCUGUUGUCUUUGAUGCACUCUAUCCUUGUACAUUCGUAGCACAUUGAGCCACAAUGGAGAGUUUAAUGUUUUCUUACUAUUUAAUGUGAUUGUGGACAGGCUAUCUUGAUUAUACAUGUUCCUGUUCGCUUCAGAAACUUCAAGAUCAAUGACUCUCCACAUUUUGGUAAUUAUCUGCUCUUCAUGGCUGUCAAAUUUUUAGAUCUAUCCUUUUCAAUAAAGAGAUUACAAUUGUGAUUCUUCUUUGGUCUUUUAUCUUUUAUUCUGUCCAGUAUUCUUCACUGUUGUUCCGUCCUUGCUCAUUUACAUUCUUUUUAUUUUCCUUUCCUGGUGGGGGUAAAAAUUUGGCGUUCCUCAUUGUUGACUUCUUUGACAUGCAAUCAUUCAGUUAAGAAAGGUGACAAAGGUGUUGUCGACUUGCUUGCAUCACUUUGCAACAUGUAUGAUGCUUCAGAAGAUGAUUUGAGGAAAACAAUGGAGACGGCCAAUAAGUUAAUAGAGGACAUAUUGAAAAAAAAGCCAUGUCCAGCAGCUGAGUGCAAAACUGAAACACUGGAAAAUAUUGAUACUGGUUCGUCACAUAAGUCAUGAAUGCUAUUUUGGCAGCAUGCUUGCGUCUGUUUUGCUUCUAAUUUACUUGAUCUUCUUUCAUGCAGAUAGCUUGAUCUAUUUUGAAGGUUUAAUGGAGGAAAAAUCUCUUUCAUCCAGUUUAAAUAUUUUAGAGAAGGAUUACGAUGAUGCAAUAUGUAAUAAAGGUGAUUUGGAUGAGAGAGUGUUUGUAAACGAUGAAGAUAGUUUACUUGGGUUAGGGAGCUUUUCUGGAGGGGCCAUGAAUGUUACUGGUAUCAAGGUCUGUUUCAAAUUUGAGAAAAUGCAUUCUACUUUUUUAGUUUUUAUGCUUUACUUAGUGGUCAGUUUAUUCAAGAAAGCAUUUAUUCUGUUUUGAGUAGAGGAAAUUUGAUUCAGUAGCUUCACCAACAAAGUCGAUUUCAAGCCCGCUGUCUCCUCAACGCCCUCCUGCAUCUCAUGCAAAUGGUGUCCUUGGGCCACCAAAUGCGAAGAUGGCAGCUACACCUGUCAGCGCUGCAAUGACAACUGCGAAAUGGCUUCGUUCUGUUAUUUGUCCUCUUCCUUCAAAACCUUCAGCUGAGUUGCAGCGUUUUUUAUCAUCUUGUGAUAAAGAUGUUACCAAUGAUGUGAUCUGUAGGGCGCAUAUAAUUUUGGAGGCAAUAUUUCCUAGAAAUCAAGUGUGUAGUGUAACUGGAAGCCUUCAGAGUGUAAACCUGAUGGAUAACAUAUGGAUGGAACAACGAAGACUGGAGGCACUUAAGUUGUACUAUAGGGUUUUGGAAGCUAUGUGUACUGCCGAGGCCCAAAUAUUACAUGCACCUAAUUUGACCUCUUUAUUAACUAAUGAGAGGUUUCACAGAUGUAUGCUUGCUUGUUCUGCUGAACUAGUACUGGCGACACAUAAGACUGCCACAAUGUUGUUUCCUACAGUACUUGAGAGAACUGGUAUUACAGCCUUUGAUUUGAGCAAGGUGAUAGAGAGUUUUAUUAGACAUGAGGAGUCUCUACCAAGAGAACUGAGGCGGCAUCUAAAUUCUCUGGAAGAGAGGCUUUUGGAGAGCAUGGUGUGGGAUAAAGGUUCCUCAAUGUACAAUUCUUUGAUAGUUGCAAAACCUGCCCUAUCUGCUGAAAUAAAUCAUCUUGGCUUAUUGGCAGAACCAAUGCCUCCUUUGGAUGCAAUUGCGACACAUGUGAACUUUGGAAGUACACCUCCAGUGCCUUCUUUGCAGAAACACGAAACAUCAACGGGUAAUGCUGGUAGCUUAAUCUCAGGUAUGUAACAUUGGUAGCUUAAUUUUAGCUGGUAUAUUUUCAGAUGGGGAAAACUUUGUGACGAGUAUGCCAAUUUUCUUGUUUAAUGCAGUAACGUGUUAAUAGAUUUUAUUGUUGUUCUUUCUCACAAUGUAUUCUAUCCUGAACUUAAUUUACAUUGUCAUGUUACUUUUGUCAGGUCAAAAUGGGGAUGUCAGGUCUCCCAUGAGACCUUGCACGGAGUUGAGGAGUGUGUUGGUUGAACGGAAUGCUUUUACAUCACCAGUGAAGGAUCGUCUAUUAGCAUUGAACAACCUUAAGAAGGCUCCUUUGCAAUCUGCAUUUGCCAGGUAUUGUAGGGUGCAAGUUCUAGGGAAGUAGAGACCUGUACUAAUUGCACUGGCUAACUGCAUUUUCUUUUUGGGUACUCUUUUUGUAGUCCGACACGUCCUAACCCUGGUGGUGGAGGAGAAACAUGUGCGGAAACAGGAAUAAGUAUAUUUUUUGGCAAGGUAUCAAACCAUGAGAUGAAUUAGACCUUUUUUAUGAAACCAUGGUGUACCUUUGUACGCUUUUACUGGUUCAAAAAUUUAGCCUCCUAGUACUUGAUUAUAAAAUGUAAAUCUACUGCAAUAUAAUUUUCUUGUGGCAAAGUGCCCACAAGUACUUACUAUUGAAUUUAAUUUAAAUUCAGUGGUUGUCAUCUACUACAUGUCUUACAUUUUGCUUCUUUUUUUUUUUUCUUUUUGCACCGCCCAGAUUAAUAAGUUGGCUGCUGUCCGGAUUAAUGGUAUGGUUGAGAGGCUACAACUGUCUCAACAGAUAAGGGAGAGUGUGUAUUCUCUUUUCCAAAAAAUACUUAACCAGAGGACUUCUUUGUUCUUUAACCGUCAUAUUGACCAGAUCAUCCUUUGUUGUUUCUAUGUAGUUGCGAAGGUCUGUGCUUCUUAUGAGAUCAUUUUAGCCGCAGUUAAAUUUAUCUGCACUAUUUCCUCUUACUUCCUGAACGAAUGACUUGCAGAUUUCUCAGUUGCGCCUAACUUUCAAAGAAAUUAUUUGCAACUAUAGGAAGCAACCACAAUGUAAGCCACAGGUUUUCCAAAGUGUAUUUGUUGACAGGUCAUCUGCACGAAGAAAUGGGGUACGAUAUCUCAUCCCCAAUUUCUUAUCUCCCUGCUUUUUGAGGCAAUUUUAACCAUUUUAAUGACAUGUAAACAGAGAACCGGGCAGGAUAAUGUUGAUAUCAUUGCAUUCUACAACGAAAUAUUCGUUCCUUCCAUAAAGCCUUUGCUGGGAGAACUUGGUUCUGCUGGAACAACCACAAGAACGAGUAGAGUUGCUGAAGCCAACAAUAGUAAUGAUGGUAAAUGUUUCAUUUAGACAAUUAUUUUACCCAGGUUUCAAUUUUAUAUUCUGUUCUUGCUGCAUCUGCAGGCUAUCUAAUUUUACUUGUUCUAUCUUCAUUUUGCCUAAUUAGGUACAUGCCCCGGAUCUCCUAAAGUUUCUCCUUUUCCAAGUCUCCCUGAUAUGUCCCCAAAGAAAGUAUCUGCAACACAUAACGUAUAUGUGUCUCCGUUGCGGACAUCCAAGGUACUUAAAUCCUUUUUUCUUUUUUUGGUCUCUCCAUUGAGUUGACUUUGAGUCGCCAAUUUUCCAUUUAGUAGAAAAUCAGACUCGUACUUUUAAGAUUUGACCAGCCUUCUAGAGCAAACAGGAAAAAGUUUAGUUGAUUGCUUAGAACUAUUGCCACUCAAGAGAUGCUGCACUUUGUCCAAGAUGCAGCACUUGUAAAAGACCAAUAAAAGAAAAAGAUCGUUUAAAAUUUCUGAUAUCAAGUUCUAUGAAUCUUGUAGAAAAAGUUGAAUCUCGGGUUAUGUCUCUUGAUUGACUGAACAAGGUAUGAUGGAAAAUUAUUCUAUUUUUAGCUUUUGUUAUUUGAAUCCUAUGUUGCUCAGGCUCUCAGGUUUGAGUGUUUGGUAUGGGAAUGUUUCUGGGAUGGGUAUGUUCAGAAUUUUGAAGGCUAUAUUCUUGUACAUGGUUUGAUAUACAUGUGUAUAGAUAGAUUAUACAUGAGACUGAUGUCUGAACACGGUACAUGCAAAAAAAAAAAAAAACCGAAUUGUCCGAGUAAUAUGGUUGGAAUUUGUGGUUCCACUAGAAAGAAGUAUGUGCCGUUGUUUAAUUAGAUCUUGUUUUCAUUUACAGAUGGAUGCUCUAAUCUCGCAUAGCUCAAGAAGCUACUAUGCUUGUGUUGGAGAGAGUACUCGUGCCUAUCAGAGCCCUUCGAAAGACCUAACUGCUAUCAACAAUCACCUGAAUGGGUAUUCUUCUCUCCCUGGGUUACAUUUUUUUUUUUAAUUAUUGAAGUUCUUGGGUGAAAGUACCUACAAAAGCCCUCUCUUAUUGGGAUUGAAUCAAAUUAGCCUCUCUACUAUUAAUAUGAUUUAAUUUAAUUUUUAUAUUAUUAAAAAGAAUUAAAUAAGGCUAAAAUCGAAUAGAAUUAACAUUUAUUGAUUAAAAAGUGAUGAAAUUUAUUUUUUCCAUUUACAGUUCUGCACCAAAAAAAGAGUAGAAAAUAAUAUUUUAUAAAUAGCAAAUAUGAAUUCUGUUGAAAUUUGGCCUUGAUUGAUUUUUUUUUAAUAAUGCAAAGAUUAAAUUGAUCUUGGAUGGGCUAAUAUAAUCCGAUCCAUAUAAUAAGGGGACCUACCAAUUACAUUCACCAAAGUUCUUGCAAUGCACCUGACUAAUGACGCUGCCAUUUGCUUUGAUGUUUCCAGUGGCAGGAAGAUCAGAGGGGCGCUCAACUUCGACGAUGUUGAUGUCGGUUUGGUUAGUGAUUCUAUGGUUGCAAAUAGCCUUUACCUGCAAAAUGGGAGCUGUGCAUCCUCAUCCGGUGCACCUUUAAAAUCCGAGCAACCAGAAUCUUAGCCCAGCACGCUUGUAUUCCUUGUAUAUUCUGCCCCACUCCCGUAUUCUUGUUAGAUCGUACGUAUGAAUGGAAGUUCAUCACACGGGGUACGUAUGAGCGGUGAGUUACUGUAGAAUAGCCGCCACCUCCCCAAUGUGUUUACUGAUGUUAGCUAACAGUACUUUGAAGCUUGGCCUAACAAAUUGAAUAAAUUUUUGCCUUUGCCGGAUUGUAGCCAAAUAGUACCACUGAUUAUUAAUAUUGGAAUCACAAUGCUCCUUCAAGGGGGUAAUUUUCUUUGGGAAUGUUUUAGGAUAUUUUUAGAGGUCAAUUUCUUUUUUAACAGUGUCUUAAGUGAUAUUGGAUGGAUAGAAAUAUUUUACUUUUGACUGUUUGUCAAAUCAUGUAACGUCUUAAUUUUUAAGAAUUCUGUGAAUGUUGACAUAGGUUUAAUUAUGUUAGUGGGCUUUUAGAAGGCCCAAGUUUAAGAUAGAACCUAAUAAUUUUAGUUAAUUUUUGUUCCAUAAAAAAAGGGUUGAAAUUAUGAAAUAGGAUUUAUGUGAAAAUGUUUGAAAAUGUUAUAGGCUAAAUUGAAGUGGCCAAAUAAAUAAGAGUGCAAAAUAAGAGGAUUUGCAUGACAAACUUUUCAUUUUACAUGAAGUGGCCAGCCAUCAUGUUGUUGUAGACAAUAUGAGCACUUGAUAUUCAUAAUUUAUGGUACAAAUUGAUAAUGGGUUAGGUAAAUGUUCCAUGUUAAUGGAUUAGGUAAAUAUUUCAUGAUAAUGGGUUAGGUAAAUGUUUCAUGAUAAUGGUUUAGGUAAAUAUUUCAUAAUGGGCAUUUCAUGUUUUUUGUAUUAAAGAAUUAAAUGGAUGAAAUAUGAAAUUUUAUUAAAAGAAAAAGGGGUGAAGAGAACAAAGUUUUGUCAUCAUAGCCGAAAGUUAGAGAAGAGAAAAGAGAGGAGAAAGCUCUUGAAUGUUUGGUCACUUGGGGAAGAAAAUUAAAGGUAAGUUCAUGGUAGUUUGCUUCUAUCUUGAUGUUUAUGAGUUCUUGAUUCUACCUUUAACUCUUGAAGCAUAUUUUGGUUUUUAGUUGUGUUGUGAGUAUUUAGUCAUGAAUUAAAAUGAAGGAAAUGGUUGUUGUUUCAUGUUCUUUUGAUGAAAAAUAGAAGAUAGGUGAAGUUGAGCCAAGCAAAUGAGCAUGCAUGUGCCGAUGCUAAAGGGAAAAAUCAGCUAACAUGUUGUGCUUUAAAAUGAUGAAAUGGAGAUUAUACUUAAGUAAAAUCAUAGAUAUGUGAUAAUUGAUUGGUGAUAUACAUGUUUAAAUAACAUGCAUGCAAGGUAUGUGUGAAAGAGUGAUUUGGUAAUAAAUUUGCUUGGGACAGCAGCAGUAACGUGACUUUGGAAAAUCACCAUAAAUUGUGGGAGAUGAAUUAGAAGCUGAAUAAAUUAUGUAAUUAAAGCUUGUUGAGUCUAGUUUCAAAUUAAAUAAACGAGAACAUAUUUUGAAUUCUGUACAAUGAGAAAUUUGAUUCGUAAUGAAGAGUGGUCAGAUUAGUCAAACAGUGAGAUUAGUCAAACAGUGAAACAUGCGAAACUUUGAAAAAAAUCUGGUAUUGAUUGGCGAAACCAAAUAUUUUGAAAAUUUUAUGGAUAUAAGAUAUAUGAGUCUAUUUUUAGGCAAAAUUAACGACACUUGAUUUGGAGUUUCGUAGCUCCAGUUAUAAAUGAUUUAGUGACUGUUGCUCAGGAAGAUAGCUUGCAGUGAAAUUAUGAUUAUGUGGUAAACAUCGACAAAAUUUGUUAAUGAGUUGCUUAUUGAUUUCUUAUAAGCUUACUAUGAUCUGUAGGUGUGGUUGGUAGAAUAUUGUAAGGGGUUAAUACGUAGUUCGUAUUUGAAUAGUUAGAUUAAUGUGUUAGUAAUUCAAUUGUAGGCAGUUCGUGUGUGGAUCUCGUCAGCAUAUAGUCGCAAACAGGUGUGUAACUAACACCCUCUUUCUUAGUCUGGAUCGGCAAAAGUCGAAAAGCUGAAAUGUCAAAAAUCGGUAUUUUGUAGAUUUGCGAGUGUGCGAAUGCUCGUGAGGUAAAUCGAUUAAUGUUUUUGGUAAGCUACAAAAUUUGGACUGCAAAGUGCAUGAUUUCUGUGCCCUCGAUAUUUUUGGGCUUAAUGGGCCAAAAUUGGAAUGAUGGACCAACGGGCCCAAUUCGGUAAGAACCCUCGGUACGUGAUUCUGUUAGUACGUGAAAAGUAGGAAUAUGCAUGAAUAACCCUAAAAUAGAUAAAUUAUUGAAAUACCUUUAAAAGUGGAAAAUUUACAGUUUUACCCCUAGUAGAUAAAUUACCGAAAUACCCUAGGGUUAAAUUGACCUAAAUGCAUGUUUGACUAUUGUUAUUUACUGCAUGCCAUAUUGUUAUUAUCUGAUGCAUGGGAUUGAGAUAUUGACGGAGUAAUUACUGAAAGUGGCUUGUCCACGUACUGGAGGCUUUGCCUCAAUUUACUGUUAAUUGAGCAGCAAGGCUGCAACUGUGGAGUGUUAGGCUAGGUGGGUUGAGCUAUUCCCCACAUGGAGUGUAGGGUUAGUACGGGUGGAGUGUAGUGGUUGGUGGGUUGAGUAGUCUCCCCAAAUGGGCUUGCAUAUGUUAUUGAUGUUGCAUGUAUUUUGAAAUGGGCCUAUGGGCCAUACUGUUAUCUGAAUAAGGGGCUAAGGCCCAGUUUAUUGUAAUCUGAAAAGGGCUCUGGUCCAGUACCAUUGUUACCUGAAUGGGCUUAGGCCCAAUAGGCUUGAGCUGACUUGGGCUUUGAAUAGGUUUUCCUUACACGCUGAGUUUCCCCAAACUCACCCCUUUUAUUUUCAUCCACGCAGGAAAUCCCCAAUCAUAGUGAGCUUGGAGCUGUGAGGGAAUUCGGAGUGGCCACCCGUUCUGAAAAUUUGAUUUUCUUCUGGUGAACUGGAUAUCCUUUUAUUUACGUUUGAAGUUUUGGGUUUUUUUUAAAUGUAAUAAGGCCGCUUAAUUAUUUUUGAUGGUUUUAAUAUGUAUUACUAUGAUAGGUAUUACUUAUUUUAACUGUUGAAAUUGGAUAGCUUUAGGGCGUGUUUUCAAAAACAACAAUUGAUUUCAAAAUAACACGACAACAAGCAAAGCUUCCGCAAUGAAAGUAUUUUUCAAAAUUAAUCACUUUUCCUAAAAAUGACAUAAUCAAAUCGGUUUCCUAGAAAUAUCCAUGACGUUAAGGUGUGGCAAUGGCGGUAUGCAUGUCUAGGAUUGGAUCCGAAGGGAGCUUGGUACUUAAGCAGUCCGAUGGACUCACCACCUCUUUUCUGGUUUCCUACCUGGUGCACAGCUUCCAUUCACUUGGUUAGUUUGACAAAAGUCGGCUUUUUAAAACACUAAAAAGGGAACACGGGUUUUUGACUUCAAAGUGACACGUCGGAUUCGGCCUUAACGUCUGGGCCGGGUUUGGGGUGCUACAAAUCACUUUAAAUAAAUUAAAAUGUUAAUGUUUGUAAUUGUUGAUGUGGCAUUUAUAUAAUAGUCAAUGUAUAUGUUACAUUAACAAUUUAAUUUUUAAAAAUAAAAAUAUAUAUAUGAAUAAAUUUCAUAUAUUUUAAAAUAAUUUUUAAUGUUUUAAUAAUUUUAUAAUAUUUUUAAAUUUAUUAAAUUUUAAAAAAUUAAUUAAUUGUUGAUGUGACAUUAAUCAAAUUCUAAAUUAGCAAAGCCAAAGCAAAAAAAAAAAAGGAGUCUUUAGCAUUAAAAUUUGGCCAAAUAUUUCCUUGAUUAAGGAUAAUCCACUCUCAACAAAUAAUUAAUAAUAUGUAUAUCAAGGACAUUAUUAAAGCUAUAUUAUUAGACUAUCAUGUGGAUCCUAUGUCAUUAAAAUUAGUAAAUGUUAAUUUUUUUUACUCAUUUUAAAGUAAUAUUGCAAACAAUUCUAGUUCAAGAGUUAAAAGUGUUAUAAAAAUAAAUGCAAUAUUUAAAUAAUUUUUUUAUAAAAUUAAAAGAUCAAAUAAAUUAUUGUAAUUUAACCACACAUGACACAAUAACUAUUAAUUUAAAAUGCACUUUUAAUUCAAAUUAUUUAAUUUUAAUUUUUUUAACAAAUUAUCUAAUGAAUCAUCUAAUUUUAAGAUUUUAAACAAGUUAUCUAAUUAUCUAAAAUGUAUAAUACAUAAUAAAUUUUAAAUAUAUAUAUUUAAAUUUCUUAUUUUUCUUGGUUUAUAUACAUUUUAAAUUAUCUAAUUUAUUUUUUUUAUAAAUUUUUCUAAUUAUCUAUGUAACAUUAUUUAAGUUAAUUAAAUUUUUUCUUAUAUAUUAGCGCAUCGUAAACAUUAUUUGGGCUAAUUUUAAAAUUUUUAAAAAUUAAUUAUUAUCAAAGUGUUAUAUUUAAAACUUGUCAACGGCUAUUUUCAAACUUGUCUCGAGAUAUUGUGUUAGCUCUCAAGACAUCUUCUCUUUGUUGUAAAGAUUAUACUUAAGAUUUUUAAGGUAUAAAACCUUAAGGGGAUAAGAAAGGUUCUAGUUAAGCCAUAAAAAUUAGGGGAAGGUUUUAUCUUAGCUUUGUCAAAAAGAAAAGGAUUGUAAGGGUUAUGUCUUGUCCUUGAAAGGUAUCAAUUCAAGUUUAGUGAAUUGAGAAAUCCUUGGUUGAGGUAUAUCGAGGGAGUGGAGGUAGGUAAUUAGGGCGAAACCACUAUAAAUCAAAUUUUCCAAGCUAUUCUCCCUCCUAUUUUAUUUUGGAAUGGUUUGUAGAGAAUUUUUAAAAUACCAAUUCACCCCUCUUGGUAUUUCUGGGCCUAACAUACCUAACAAAUAGGCUUAUAAUCCUUGAUGUGCUAGAUGUGUUUAGGGUGGUCAAUUUGAUGAAUUUAUUAUUUGAUAUCAUGUUGACAUGAGUUAGUAAUGUGUUGGUUACUUUUUAAUGAGUUAGAAAGUGUUUUAUAGGUAAAGCGACUAAUUGGUAUCGAGACAUUAAGAACAUGUCUCGAGACACCUAAACAUUGAAGCUAGAGGUUUGAAACAGGAGAAUUAUGCCUGGAGACUUGUUUUGAGACAUAAGAGGUUGAAUCUCAAAACAUGAGCCCCAUUGUCUCGAGAUAACUUAACUUUGAAGCAAAAAUAAGGAAACAUGAGAAGCAUGUGUCUAGAGGCCUGACUUCACUGUCUUAAAACACAUUAUUCAAUUUUGAUAGUUUGAGUUUGGACUUGAAUCUUGCCUCCAUGUUUAACCCAUACGACCCCGUGUCACUACAGGUGGGCUCAAUUAGUCUUAAUUAAUUGUGUAUCAUUAGUAUAACAUGUAAAAUUUGAGUUUAUGUCAUGUUUUUCUUUUAAAGUUUGAUAAAAAUUAAUCAAGAUAGUCUGAGUUGCUCCAGCAACAUAAUGUGACAUCUCGCAUUCAGAUCUGACAACCGAGUUGGGUGUGGGGUGUCACAAAAGAAAUGAUGACAUUGCCUUUUUUUAAUUGGUAUAAAACACACUUUAUCUUCAACAUUUAUACAUUAUAAACUUUGGUUCUAAUUCUAAAUAAUUCAACAAAUUUAACCCUCUACAUUUAUUAAUCCUAUCAAUUUAGUCCUUAAACACAUCUUUAUCAUAAAUCGAAAUUAUAAAUAAAAAAUUUCUAAAAACAUUCAAAAUCGCACCAAUGAUGAAAUCUAAAAAAAAAUUAUAGUGAAGGAAGGAAAUGUCCAUUAAAGAAAAUUUGCAACAUUUAUUUCAAUUUCAAAAACAAAAUGAAAAAUGAAACAAAAGAAAAUUUUAACCAAGAGGAUCAAAACUCCACUUUUUCAUUUCCAACACUUCUUCCAAUUUCUAUUUUGGCUGUAACUAGGGUAUCCAUCAUUAGUAGCAGUGACUAUUUCUCUUGUCGCGGGUGCUUUCCAAAGAGGUAAAUGGCUGGCUAUGAAAUGUGCUCCAUUCUCAUGGGUAGGGAUUGAAUCCCUGACCUCAUGGUUAAGGGAUGAGGUAAAUAGCUGGUCAUGAAAUAUGCUCCAUUCCAACACUUCAAUUUCAGGUACUUAUUUCCCUUUCCAAUUCAUCUUCUUUUUCUCAUAUAGAAUUGUUUCAAAUAAGAAAGCAAAUAUUUCAAAACAAAAAAUUGUGAACGCCAUGAACACUCGCAAGAUUCUUUAGAUGGAGAAUAAAGGAGUUUAGCUUUAUGUUUAUGAACUAGCAGGUUCCUUUAGGUUAAAAUCCACCUUAUUUCAUUGUUGGUGUUCUUAGAAUUUUGAUGAUUUGCCAAAUUAUAUGUUUAUUAAUUUAUUUAAUUUUGCAAACCCAAGAUCAAAUAUUGUCAGUCUUCAUUGUCUCCAAUGCAAAUCAAAGUCGGUGACCAACUUGUAACAUUUUGAAAUUGGUUGACUGAAGUGUUGAGUGACCAAAAUCAUAUAAUUGUCGCUCAAUCUUUGCACCAUUAUUCCCCAACUUGAUAAUUCAAAUAGUAUUAACAACAACUCACAACCACAAUCAAAGCAAAACAAACAAAAAUUUCAAAAAAAAUAAAAAAAAGGGAAGAAAAUCUACUUUAUUAGUGAGCCCCAAAUAGGACUUACAAAUGCAAAGAGCCAAAAUAAAAUCAUAAAGAAGAGAAUCAAAAUAUCACCAAAAAAAAACUCAAAUUUACCAAAUUUAGUUAGGAGUUAGUAACAGAGUUUCUGUUGAGGAGGCUUAGUCCAAAAGGUAAAGGAGAAAGUCUUGUUAAGAAAAGGAACAUAUCAAAGUCAUUUGCCCAUCCGAUGAAGAUGGACAGACGUUGAAGAGCUUCUUCUUAUGGCUUCAAGUUUAAAUCAAUGGAGUUUUAUGCCACUUCAAGGAAAAUUAAACCAUAAAGUUGAAAAAUAAAGGAAAAAAGAUCUAGUUUAGUGUGUUUCUUUGCUACAGGAAGAGUUGGACGGUGGCACAAUUACUAGUAUACAACUGCGAAGGAGUAACUUUGGGUGUAUUUCCAUAACUAACUUGUCACUUUUUGAAAUUAAAUGACCAAAGUUUAGAUUUACUAAUAUUUGAGUGACCUUACGUAAGUUUACUUUUUGAUAAAUAGUAGGUUAACAACCAUCAAACAUAUGUUAGCAAUUUAACAACUUAAUGACUUUAAAGGAUGAUUUUCAAAUAAUUUAGUGACAAAUUUGUAAUUUUUUAAAUUAAGUGAUCAUAGUGUAAAUUUGUUAGUAAUUGAGUGAUCUUAGAUGUAGUUAAAAGAAAGAUUAUUCUUCACUAGCAUUGUUUCAAAGGUUGAAACCUAUAUUAACUUCCACUAUUAUUGUUUGAAUUGUACUAGAUUGAUCAAUUGGGCUAAUUGAAUUAAGAACCAAUCAGGGUAUCGAUUCAAAGAGUAGCUUUGAACUGAUUAGAUUGAAAAUUAAUAUAAACUAAUUGAAUCAACUAAAAAUUGAUUCAACCAACUAAAAACAGAUUAAACUAAAAAAUUUUAAAUUUUUAAUAAUUUUUCAAUCACACCAAUGGCGAAACCGUUCCUUUUAAUCUCAAUUAAUUAAAUUUGAGUUCAAGUGAAAAGGCUUUCAAAUCUCGACGGCGCCACCGGAGAGAUCAAAGCCUACUAACCCAGAAUCUUUUACUAGAGCCAAAGUUCUUAAACAGUGAGAGCAAAAAGAAAAAAGAGAGGCGUGUGCGGCGGCGAUGAUGUCCGGAGGCGGUGCUGGCGGAGUGGAGUGGCACGUUAGGCCACCGAAUCCAAAAAACCCAAUCGUAUUUUUCGAUUUAACCAUAGGUUCUAUCCCCGCCGGUCGUAUCAAAAUGGAGCUCUUCGCUGAUAUUGCCCCUAAAACCGCCGAAAAUUUUCGGUCCUUUCACUUCCCUUCUUUUGUUCUUUUUCCAUAACUAUUUUUCACUUUUCCAAAUUCCUGUUCUGAUUUUCAAUUUUUCUUCUCGUCGUGCAGGCAGCUAUGCACUGGCGAAUACAGGUUCACUUUUUUUUUCCCUUAAAAUUUGUUGUUACCUUCAUCAAAAUAAAUAAUUCCUACUUACUCAUUUUAUUAAUUGGAUUGAAUAUCAGGAAAGCUGGGUUGCCUGUUGGUUAUAAGGGUUGCCAAUUUCAUAGGGUUAUUAAAGAUUUUAUGAUUCAAGCUGGAGAUUUCCUCAAGGUUGUUACUUUACUGUAUUAGCUUUCUUUUUGCACUUAUUAUCUUAGCCACUUUGCUCCUCCAUGUUAGUUCUAAAUACCCAGAAUUAGCUUCUUCAGAUUUUUGCAGAUUAUUGAUCUCUUUACUCUUUAUGUAUCUGGGAAUAAUGAUUUUGCGGGACUCCUUUUAAAUUAUUUCAGAAGUUAAAAGUUUUGGCUUGCUGACUUGAGAGGAUGAUAUGAUUGAAGUAGAUUGUUGUUGUUUUUUUUCUGUUGUUAAGUUCUUUGUUAAAUGUCCAUUGUAGCCUGGAUGAGGGCGCAAAUAUCCUUAUUAAGGAUUGUUUUCACCCAAAAAUUGGAGUGUAGUGUUUGCCAAAGUAAAGUAAUGGAAGGUCUAGCUUAGACCAUUAAAAUUUGAUUUGUUAAACAUAAAAGAUGCAGAAGAGCUAAGUUACUGUUUAAUUUUUUUUUGUCUUUCCAUAUUUUUGAGGGUCCUUAGAGGAUCAUAUUCCUGACCCAAGUCUAAAUGUAUGUCGGGCAUGGGUAUCUCAAGCAAAAAUAAAGAGUUGGAGUAAAAUAUUGCAGGAGUAUUACUUUUUGUUGACAAUGAUGAUGCUAUUUAGACGAUUUUCUCCCAUGUUAUGUAUUAGUUACAGUGAAAUCUUACAUUGCAGGGUGAUGGUAGUGGAUGUACUUCCAUUUAUGGGCACAAAUUUGACGAUGAAAAUUUCAUUGCCAGACACACUGGUCCUGGUUUGCUAUCAAUGGUAUGCUAUUUUCUAUAUGGUAUUCCUUUAGCUAUAUUUUCUUUUCUCAGUUUUCUCUAAACUUUUCAAACGAAGAUUCUUCAUUUUUGUAAAUACCUUUUUGAUAAAGAAAGGUAUAGAAAGCAUUGACUUCUUUGAUUUUGGAAGUGAUUGAGAAAACUUAGAUGUGGGAGGUUCGUGGGACAGGAUUUUGUUGCCAUAUCUCGAUAAUCUUUGCAAAGUGCCUUAAUUUUUAUAGUCCUCUUCCAGUCCCCAAUAUUCUAUAUCACACCUCUGUUUCGUUGAUAAACUGGUGAUCUUUUUUGUACAACUGUGAUUCGAACCCAGGCCAAUAGCCCAGAACUUGGGGUUCAUAACUGGUGUUAGAUUCACAUUCUCUUAACACUGGAGGGAGAAACAGAAAGAAAACUAUGAAGAUACUAGAAUAUUAUGGAUAAGCUCAAUGAAAAUUUAUUAAUUGCUAUCUUUUUCUGUUUCCAUUGCAGGCAAACAGUGGACCAAACACCAAUGGUUGUCAGGUAACUUACUCUAUCUCUCUUACGUAAAUUUUACUCGGAUUUUGGAUUCCUGUCUAACAUAGGCAUGUUCAGUUUUUUCUAAGUUUUCCAUGUAUUUAAAGGGUCAUAUCUCAAUUACCAUGUCCAGAAAUGCAUCUUACACUGGUGUUUGACUUGGGUACUUCAAGAAAAAUGAGUAAUUGGAGUAACAUAUGCUUACAUACACAUGCACACACAUGCAAUUUGAUGAUGUAAAAGAAUGUCAAUGUGCUUUCAUGCCCGCAGCAUUGGUAUUGAUCAAGCAUCUCUAUAUAUUAAAGGGGCACGGGAAUUAAUUCUCUGGUUUGUCCAAUCCCAGUUUUGUGAAUUGAGAUUGGGUGGAAGCAUGGCUAUUGCAAAUUAAAUCAAGCCUUUGAGUGCUUUUAGUUAAGAUUUCUAAAGGUUCUCGGUAGAACUUUUAUCAUCUACCGUUAUAAACUUCUAGGUUAUAUUGAUUUCAGUGUUUAUUGACUGCAGUUUUUUAUCACAUGUGCAAAAUGCGAGUGGCUCGAUAAUAAGCAUGUUGUAUUUGGGGUACGUUCUCAAACCUAUUAGUGCCGAAUGUAUCAAGAUUUCCUACCUUCUGUAAAGUUGAAGAAUAUUGUUACUUCUUCGAACUAAUGAAUAAUUCGUCUGUGGUCAUGUAGAGGGUGCUCGGAGAUAGUCUUCUUGUUGUUCGGAAGAUUGAGAAUGUGGCUACAGGUCCGAACAAUAGGCCAAAACUACCAUGCAUUAUAGCUGAGUGCGGGGAAAUGUAAACGUGAUAUCAAUAACUCAUAUGCUGAAGACUAACCACAAAUGUUUUAAAAACCAUUUUAGAGUUUUUUUCUGUUGACUUUUUAUUCUGGGGUUCUUUUCCCCCUUUGGCUCGAAAUAUUUUAUUACCAAUAUAUUGCUGGCAUUGGAGGUUUGAUGAAUGUUCGUCUAAUAAUGUUAAAUGCUUGAUUUGAAUGAGAUUUUAAGUAGGCAGUGGACAUGAUUGGAUUAGUAAUUUAUGCCAUUGAGUCAUUGUAUACUAUUCUGGUCAGGCAACGCUAGUAGAUUUUUUUACUGUUGUUUUAUCAUGAAGAAAACACAGAUUAAACUUUUAAAAAAGCCCUUGAACUAGUUUACUUUUAUUAAGUAAAACCUACCUUUUUUCUUCCUUUUUUUUUUGUACUUAAUAUAGGGGGCUUAUUUAGAUGCCAAUCAAAGAUUAAAAACCUAUUUGGGUAGAUAUUAAUGUUUAAGGGUUUAUUUGAGUUUGGCUUAAUGACAAAUUUGGCGACAAAUGUUUGCAAGUUUGUCAAAAAUGCCUUAAUUGUAUUUUUGAGCUUUUUUUUCCAUAAAUUUUUGUUUUUUUUUAAUAUGUUUUUUCUAAUAGAUUUAAUGGAAGUACUAUUAAAAAAAUUAACAAGGAUGAUGUAGACUUUUAUUUGUGAAAUAUUUCUAAUGAGAUAUAAUUUAUUAUUUAAAUAAUUCAAUAAGAUAAUUACAUGUGAAAAAUAAUAAAAUAAAUAAUACAUUAAAUUAAAAAGAUAACUCUUAAUUUAAAGAAAAUAAACGUAAUUAUCCAUAAAAAAAUUAACUCAGUAGAAAAAAUUUUCAGUACAUAAAUAUACGAAAGAUUGAAACUUUUUGAAAGGAAAGAAAAAUUGAAACCUUCAAUUUAUUUGUUAAAUAUGUUAGAAAAAACAAAUUGAAAAAAAAAAUUGAUAGCAAGGGUUUAUCUAAAUAACUUAGUAAAGUAGGAUCUUCUUAAUAUAUUAGCAUAAGCUGAAUGAUUAACUCCACUGUCAAGAGAGUUAAAAUUUUAUCUAAAACUUGGUAUUAUUUUAUAUAGGUCCAAUUAUAAUCACAAAUAUAAAAAACUAAAAUUAUAGAUUUGUAAUUUUUAUUAUGCUAUAAUUUUGAUUUUUUUUAUGAAUUUUAUAAAAUCGAAUUUAAUUCAUCAAAUAAAGCUCUUUUUAUGUACGAUUUGUAAGUUGCAACUUGAUUUUUCAUGUUAUACUUUAGAUGAAUAUUCUGUCUUAAUUAAGACAUGUUAUUAUGAUCAUAGUUGUGUCACUUUAUCAUGUUCAUAGUUUUUUGUCCAAGACAUUCAUAUAUAGUUGAAAGAAAAUCACUUUUACCCUUUUAACUAUAAAUAACUUUUUUUACUCUUAAACACUUGUCAGCAUACAAAUAACAUAAUAAUAAAAUAAUAAGAUAACUAUCACAUAUAAAGAUGUAAAUUAUUUGGACUAACUAAUAUCAUUAUUAUAGACUCAAUUUUUGGCCCGAGCCCAUACACAUACAAAAAACCAAUAAAUAAAACUCACAUAAAAAUCCAAAAAAGUCUAAAAAUUACAAAAAAAUCCAAAAAUUACAAAAACAUCAAAUCCAAUUAUAAGCUCAAAAAUGAACCUAACCCUAGAGCCCAAACAGCCCCAAAAGGAAACAGUUGCUGCUUCCCUCCACCACGUGCGUCGGCACACCGAGCACGACCCCCUGGUUCGCGCGUCCACGCCCAUGAACGCCCUCUUCACGUCUCCACGUACCUGUAAAGUGGGGAAUAGCAGGGAACUGUUUGUAUUUGGCUAUAAAGCCUUUGAUUUUUUAUUGUAAAGGGAUGGUUUUUUUCCUCCCUCAGAGAAAGAGAGUACAGAUUGAAUACAAUAUAUACAAAAAAUCAGCAGAGAGCAGCAAAAAUAGUACAUUUCAAAGGUAAUUGUUACUACAAUUUAUUCUAUUUUACCUUUUUUUUUCCUUUCCCAUUCAGAUCCACAACACAAAUUAAAGGUAGGAGAGAAAGAGAGGAAGUUCACCGGAGUCACACCGAGCACGCACCGUCGGCGGGCCUUCGCUGGCUGCGAAUGGAAGGCCUGGGUACUGGCCUUUCGGCUGAAGAGCGAAGGGAGAGCGUGGGAGACGGGGAGCCAUAAGGCAUUUAGGAUUUUUCUUAAAACAAAAGUCAGAAUGUUUGUUUUUUUUUCAAAGCAAAAAUUGUAAAAACAUGUUUUAAUUAAGUAAAAUAGCAUUGGGAAGGGAAAAAGUCAGUAGAUGACUUGGUCCACGUGCAUUUGCUUUUUAAAUGGGGGAUUUUCACUUUUAAUCCCCCUCCUUCGAGUCUACUUCUAAAUUGGCUCAAUUCACAUUUUAUUGUCUUUUAAAAUUUUCCCUGAAGUUUGCAUACUGUUUUAAUUUGGCCCGUGCCUGGGUGAAGUGUUUUGGGGCAUGGUUUAUUUUCUUUUUCAGUCCUUGCGAAUUUACGCGUGCUACAUUUGGAUCCUGAUUUUGGUUUCAACCGCUUAUUUUGUUUAUUAAUUGUCCCUUUUAUUUUAUUUUAUUAUUAUUAUUAUAUGUAUAAUUCAUUAUUUCUUUAAUUUAUUUAGCAUUCAACUUUUAAAAAAUUUAUUUAAACAUACGUUUUGGAUUACUUUAUUAUGAUUAUUAUUUAUUUGUUUCAAUUGCAAAGUAUAAUUUUAAAAUUCUAUUUUAUGUAGUAUUAUUCUAAAUUCUUGUAUAAUAUUUAAUUAAAAUACUUUUAUAUAUUAUUAUUGUACAUAUAUAAUUAUGAUGAAAUUAUUUUAUUUCAUAUACAUAGUUUAUUUUAUUUUAUUUUUAUAGUUACUUUUAAAUCUAUUUAAUAUAUAUAUAUUUUUUAAAUUUAUUUAUGUAUAAUUCGAUUCUCUUUAAAGGACCAUUGUAUAUUUUAUUAAUUUAAAAUAUUUUAACAUCUUGGUAUAUAUCAUUUGCUCUUUUUUAUGUUUUUUCCAUUUUCAUAUAUACAUGUUUAGUUAAAUUAACUUGUCUAUGUUUUUUUUUCCUUACGAAAUAUAUAUAUUUUAAUAGUUAUUCAUAUAUUGUCAGUUUUUAUAUGCAUAUAUGUUAUUUCAAAUUUCUGCUUGGGUUAUUUCUUUGUAUAUAUUUAAUAGUCUUUAAAUUGUCUAUAUCAUUGAUUCCUAGUUCUUGUGUUGUCUUGCAUAUCAUGUUAUCUUUAAAUUCGUUUUUUGUAACUAUCAAUUGUAAAAAACUUCUAAAACAAAGGUAAUGUUUCGCGUUUUAGAAAUUUGGAAAAUCGUGUCCUAACGUGUUGGGCUUCAAUUUUUCGCUUGCCCAAAAUAGUCAAAUAUUCCUUUAAAAUUUCAUUUAUGUUUUUCUAAAUUUUAAAAUAAAGGCAAUGUUCUAUGUUUGGAAAUUCGAAAAAUUGUGUCAUAACGUGCUAGGUUUCGUUUUUUCAUUGGACCAAAUAAUGGAAUACCAUUUUCGUGGCGUUUUGGAAAUCAUAAAGUGAUCUCAGCUUUUGGGAGGCUUAAAAUAUCAUGUCUUAACGUGCUGAAUGUGGUAUUUUAUUUCUUUGAAACGAGUGAAUUUUGAAAUCCAAUUCGAGUGAUCACACAUUUUUAAAGGAAUCGUAUUUUGGCAAUUUAAGUUUUCAAUUAUAGGACAUUAAAUAAUCAAUUGGUACCAAUUUUGGGCGCUACGAGAGUGCUAACCCUUCCUUGUGCGUAACCGACUCCCGAACACUUUUUCUCAAUUUCUGUAGACCUAAAAUUAUUAUUUUAAUAAAUCAAAUGUUUUAUUAAAAUGAUCAACCUCAAGGUGAUCCGAUCACACCUAAACUAAAAAAGAUUGGUGGCGACUCCAUAAUUCGUUUUUUAAAAAAUCGAUCCCCGUUUUUUCAAAACUCUUUAAAAAUGGUUUCGAUAGCUUGGCGACUCCGCUGGGGACUAUUUGAGAGUCAAGCCGUAAAAUUGAUUAUUUUCUGUCCUUUUGUCGAAAAUUUAAAAUUUAGAUUUUAACAUACGAUCCUUUUAUUGCAUUUCAUGGAUUUUAUGGUUUUUGGUCAUUUUAUUCGUGUCUUACAUUUUGAGUUUUUUUAUAUUCAUUCACAUCAUCUUGCAUGACCGUUGUGGUCGCACCUUUUUAAGUGAGAGUGAGAAACUACGCCUUCGUGAGGUUUUCACCUCCGCAUGGGCUAGUGGACUGCUUCCGGGAUACAUCCGUACCUAUGUCUUCGUGAGGUUUUCACCUCCGCAUGGCCAUAGGGAAAUGUAUUUCCCUGAACUGAACUCGAUCUGCAUGAGCCUAUAAUGGGUGAAGGUUGAGGAAUCUGCUGGUUCAGGUACCAUUUCCUUAGAACCGAGCCACAUAUAGUGAACUCUAGGAGCCCGCCCUAGGUAGAGCUAUGUUGAACUCUAGUGAUUACCCAGUUAGGUGUUUAAUUAUUUUCUAUUUGCUUAAAUUUUUAUUUCUUCGAUACUAACUUGUUGUGUUUUGUUGCGAUUAUGUUUUGCAUGUCAUUUCAUAUUAAAGAAGUGUUGAUUUCUGUUCGGUUGCUAAAUUAGAAAGCUUGUUAUGGAGAGCUAAUUCAUUGAUAAAGUAGAGGAUAAUGCGACUGUCUGUAUGUGGUUAGAGAAUAUGCAACUUGAGAAAGGGGAUAGCCUAGCUGAGGGGUAUACAUCAGGGUUGUCGGGCUUCACUCCAUCAACGUGACCCAAAACGAGUUCCAGGAAUUGAGGGAUAUAUGGGCUCGUUGGGAUGAUGAGACCAAGCAGCUAUUCUAUCAAAGUUAUGGUGACUUACCCUACCUGCUCGAUAUCAAGGUAGACAAGUACUUGUUUUGGGCUAUGGCUCAAUUUUGGAACCCGGCGUAUAGUUGUUUCACCUUCGGGAAGGUGGAUUUGGUGCCUACUGUGGAGGAGUAUACGGCUUUGCUUCGUUGUCCAAAGGUUCAAGUCGAUAAAGUUUAUUGCAAGGCUACUAGUGCCCCAGCUUUUGUAAAGAAGUUAAUGAGUAUCACUGGGAUGAGUGAACAAUGGGUUACAGCUCGAAUUCAGCAAGAGGGUGAUGGUAGGUGCAUUCCUUGGGUAAGUUUGAGGGACCUGAUCGUAGCACAUCCGGAUACAAAGAGGAAAGUUGACGUCUUCGCCCUAAGUAUCUAUGGUUUAGUGAUUUUCCCCAAGGCUUUAAGGCAUAUAGAUGAAGCAGUUGCUGAAUUCUUUGAUCGACUUGAUAAAUGGGUCACACCGGUGCCGACAAUUCUUGCUGAGACAUUCAGAUCCUUGAGUACAUGUCGGAGGGCAAGUGAAUGUAGAUUUAUAGGGUGUGCGCAGUUAUUGUUGGCUUGGUUCCACAGCCAUUUCUGGAAGGUAGAUAAGGUUUCCUAUCGGGUUUUUUCUGAGAGUUACUCCCUGUUAAAGGAGAUAGCAGCAAUGUCUAGGAGAGAUGACAUAUCAGAAGAAAAUUGGAUUCUGCUCCUCCGAAAUCUUCAGGAAGAGGAUGUUGAGUGGAGAGCUCUUUGGUUUGUUCCUGAUGAGAUUCUCUAUCGGUGUGGGAGUUUUGAUUGGGUACCUCUACUUGAAUUUGGGGAGCUGUUGGAUAUGCCCAUUUGCUCGUUUUAAGACAAUACAGGUCAAGGCAGUUUAUACCGAUGAUGCAUGGAUUAGCCCAGAGUGAGUUCGCGUAUAAAGAGAAGAAUUAUAAUAAGAAGGUUCAAGAGAUUUCUGAUGCUUGGAAACAGACACGACAGAUGAAAAGAUUGGCUGUUGGAUCAAUGAUGACUCUUGAAUACAAUGGGUGGUUGAGUAAAAGAGUUAAUGAUAAUAUCCCCGAGCCGAGUUUGGAGGAUGUUCGUACGAUGGAAGAAUAUUUACAAGUAAUCCCCUCCUAGCUUGAAAUCGUAAAACGGGACUUCGAAGAGAGAAAUACAGAGUUAGGGAAAAAGAUAGAACAAUUAGAGGAGGAAAAUAUACAUUUGAGAUUGGAUGCCGACGUUCAAAAAUUUAAGGCCGAGAAGUUGAAAAAAGGAAAAAGGAAGGUUGAGGAAGACCUGGACAGUCUGAAAACUGAUUACAAGAAGCUACGUAUGUCGAUGAGAACUGCUGGGUUGGGGAAGAUGUCAGAGCAGUGGCGACAGAAAAUUCAAGCGAAAAAGGCUAGAGCUGAUCAGUGGGAGAAGAGGUUUCAUGAUGCUCGAGCACGUGAAAGUGCCUUAAAGAAAAGCUUGGUUGAAGGCCAAUGUGAGAAAGAGAUGUUGGUAGCUCGGGUAGCGGAGCUAGAAAAGGCCUUGCAUCAACACCGUGGUCGUAAAUCUGAUAUUGAAUUAAGAGCCAGCCUGAGUAGAAUUGAAGAUUUGAAAGGGAAGGUAGAAGAGCUCGAGACUGCACUACAAAACUGUAAGCUUCGAAUUGAGUUACUUGAGUCAAACAAUGAGCAAUGGAAGGAACAAUUCCGUCAAUCGCAAGACCAAGUCAGGGAUAGAGAUCACAUCAUGGGUGAAGUUGCAGCUCAGAUUCGAGAAGUGGCUGAUUAUUUACAGACCUUAACGGUUCAGGCUGAUGUCCUAAGUGUGAAGUAUGAGUUAGAGUCGGACUGGGGUCGUGAGUUAGCUUGCCUUCUUAAGAAAGUUAAAACUUUGAGCAUUGGGGCUAAAUUGUAUAUGUGAUCUAUUUUAUGUAAAGGAUUUUACUUUUUAAUAAAGAUAUUUAAAUGGAAUUGAAUCAGAAUCGACGUCUCUUUAGUUUUGCAUUCAUUUCAUACAUUUGCAUUUCAUCGCAUCAUGUGCAUUAAAUUCCACAAAAAAUCCUGAUUAAAAAUUAUAUUAUAGUUACCCUGGAACAUCAAUACUACACAUGGAAAAAGACUAAAGCUAUGGAUCAAAGGUUGGAAAAGUUAAAGCAAAUGUAGAAAGAAAUGCAAGAACAAAUGCAAGUGCAAAUGUAAGAGCAAUUAGCUAAGAUCCAGAAAGAUAUGAAAGAUCAAAUGCUGGAAUCUUAGAGGAGUAUGAUGAGCGAAUUGACUCAGCUACUAGUUGGCAAGCCACAAAAAGGGGAAGAGUACCAUGGUCAAUGCUGAAGAUGAUAGCAGGAUUCUUACUUACCCUCCGGGUUUCACCCCAACAAACACCCCAGUGCAUCCGCAAAAGGUGUCUGUCAGUAUCAAACCCUAAUAUCAAACUGGUACUUCGACACUAGUAAAUUUUCUAACGGGCUCGUGUUCUAACCCCGAAGAAAAUCGUGUAAAUCCUACAGUCCCUGACUUCGAUGAGGUCGCGGAAGUAGGAAAGGCAGGAGCAGAAUUUCCAAAGUGGCUAGAAGACCAUACAAGUGGUUGGAGGAAAAAUUCAGGGCGUUGGAAAGCGCUGAUUAUCAUUAUGGAAUGGAUGCCAAUGAGUUGAGCUUGGUCCCAGAUCUGGUACUCUCUCCGAAGUUCAAAAUGCCAGAGUUUGAGAAAUACAACGAAACUAGUUGCCCUGAGGCUCAUAUCACUAUGUUUUGUCGGAGAAUAACUGGUCAUGUCAAUAAUGAUCAGUUAUUGAUCCACUGUUUCCAGGACAGUUUGGUUGGGGCUGCGGCUAAGUGGUACAAUUAAUUAAGUCAUACCCAAGUCAAAUCAUGGAAAGACUUGGCGCAGACUUCAUGAAACAAUAUGGCCAUGUGACUGACAUAACGCCUGAUAGGAUCACAUUGCAAAACAUGGAAAAAAGUCGAAUGAAAGUUUCACGCAAUACGCUCAGAGAUAGAGGGAGAUUGUUACACAAGUCUAACUCCCAUUGUUGGAAAAGGAAAUAACCAUGCUUUUUAUUAAUACCUUGAAGGCGCCUUUUAUUAAUCACAUGUUGGGAAGCGUAACUAAGAGUUUUGCGGAUAUAGUUAUGUCUGGUGAAAUGACUGAGAAUGCAAUAAGGUGCAGAAAGAUAGAGGCAGGGGAAAAUACCAGAAGGUCAGCCCCGAAAAAGAUAGAAAAUGAAGUCAGCAAUAUGAAUAUGGGUUAUACGAAACCAAUCAUGGUAAAUCAACCGAAAGUAGUAGCUACGGGCUAACAAGCUUCGCCAAGACAGGAGCCCAAUACAAAGCAGAACACAGAGAAGCCCCAGUUUACUCCCAUUCCAGUAACGUAUCGGGAGCUGUACAAAAGUUUGUUUGAUGCACACGUCGUAUCUCCUUUUUAUUUAAAACUACUACAACCUUCAUACCCCAAGUGGUAUGAUGCAAGUGCUCAAUUUGAAUAUCAUGCUUGAAUCGCGAGACACUCGAUAGAGAACUGCACCUCUUUUAAAAGGGUAGUCGAAAGGCUCAUCAACAUAGGUAUUGUGAAAUUUGAUGAUACACUUGGUGUAGGAUAUUAGUUACCUAAUCAUACUGAUAAAGGGGUAAACGCAAUAGUCAAUAAUAUGGGUAGGAGAAUUAAGUUGGAUGUGGCAGAAGUGAGAACCUCGAUGAGGGAGGUUUUGAAGAAGAUGGUAGAGAAAUGUCUAGUCAUGCAAGACUUUGGGAGCAAAUCCUGAGAAGCAAGGAACUAUUGUGAGUUCCAUGGAAAGGAGGACCAUGAGAUAGAAAAAUGUAAUGAAUUUAGGGCCUUGGUACAGGCUCUAAUGGACAACAAAGAAUUGGAAUUCUUUGAGUUUACUAAGAAAGAAGAUGUAUGCUCCUCGGAUGAGGGGUUGAUAGAGAAGGUUUCUGAGGUCAAUCACCCAGUGGUGAUCAUUUCGCGACCGAAAUUUAAUGAAGUUUAAGCAAAAAUUACAUCGAGAGUUGUAAUCCAGAGACCCGCGGCUUUUCCGUAUAAGGACAACAAAAUGGUGCCUUGGAAUUACAACUGUAAUGUGACAUAUCCAGGGGAGGAGAGUCUGGUCAUCACGCCAAGUACAAAGGUCCAACCUAGAAAAGGGAAGUCCGUGAUGAUUGAACAAGGGAAAGAGAGGACAAAACCAUUGGUUAAUAAACCAGUAACGGAAGAUGAAGCUAAAAAAUUUCUGAAGUUCCUAAAACACAGUGAGUAUAGUGUUGUGAAACAAUUGCACAAGCAGUCGGCGCGUACAUCGAUACUAGAUCUACUCCAAAACUCAGAGGUUCACCGAAAUCAUUGAUGAAGGUGUUGAACGGGACCUAUGUCAUUGAAGAUAUUUCAAUGAGCAAGCUAGAUCGCCUUGUCAGUAACAUAAGUGCCGAUAACUUCAUCUCCUUCAGUGAUGAUGAAAUACCACCAGGAGGCAUGGGAUCCACCAAGACUUUGUACAUCACCACUCGCUGUAAAGGAUAUAUACUGCUGGGGGUAUUAAUUGAUAAUGGGUCAGCGCUGAAUGUUUUGCCCUUGUCCACAUUAAAUAGGUUACCAAUAGAUAGCUCUCAUAUGAAGACAUGCCAGAACAUAAUAAGGGCAUUUGAUGGCACUGAGAGGAAAGUGAUAGGAAGAAUUGAGGUACCUCUGCAGAUCGGACCAAACAGAUACGAGGUAGAUUUCCUUAUGAUGGAUAUUACUCCUUCCUAUAAUUGCUUGUUAGGGAGGCCUUGGAUUCACUCGGCAAGGGCAGUACCAUCAUCUUUGCACCAAAAGUUAAAGCUGGUGAUGGAGGGUCGCUUGAUAACGAUAAAUGCUGAGGAGGACAUUAUUGCAUCUGUUACUAGUAGUGCACCAUAUAUAAAAAAUGAUGAUGAAGCAAUUGAGUGUUCCUUUCGGUCAUUGGAGUUUGUAAAUGCAACUUUCAUCAUUGAAGGGGACAGGGUCCCAAUGCCAAAAUAUUUGAGCCUACGAGGAUGAGCUUGCAAUUAACAGUGGGAAAGGGAGCUUUGCCUGGAAGAGAACUUGGAAAGUAUCUUCAUGGACGAGUUGAUGUACCGAUUUUGGCUGAUAAACAAGAUCGCUUUGGCUUAGGGUAUAGGCCAGAUGUAAAUCAGAAAAGAAAGGAGAUGGAAAGGAGGCAGAAAAGAUGAAGAGCGCGACUGAAUGAGGCAGAAGUCGAGUGGGAAUCAAUGACUUUUCCCCAUAUAUCCUAUACAUUUGUGUCGGGUGAAGUUAUUUAUCUUGAAUUGAAUAUGACAAGAACGGGAACAGCUAAAGACGGAAUCGAAAAUUUGAAUAUCAAUGUCAUAUCUGAAGAGGAAGUGAUGAAAUAUGAUUUAGCAAGCAUUCGCCCUUAUGAGCCUAGAAGUGUUAUGAACAACUGGACUGCGGAAGAAAAUCCUGUAAUUUUUAGUGCUAAUACAGAGUAAUGUUCAAAACACACUUGUUGUUUUAAAAGCUUAGAAGCAACAAGAAUCUUUUGUGAAAUAGGCUCAUGUUCAAAACGUUUAUUUCAAUAUAAAUACACUUUUAUGUCUUAUUCUGAGCAAAUAUUCUUUUAUCUUGAGCAAAUUUUCUUUUCUUGCAUUUCAUUUAUAAUCAUACCAUACAAAUAACGCUAUACUCAGGUUCAUUUGUUUGUUGGAUAUUCUUUCAUGGCUACAAUAGGUCUUUAGAUAUCAAUGGCAUGAGUGACGCUGUUACAAAUCCAAAAUUUCUUUUUAAGCGAGACGUGUGUCUGAAGUGAUUUCAGGAUUUUGAAGAUGAUGAAGACUGUAACUUACCUUUAGAUUUGUUAAGGAUGGUAGAACAGGAGGAGAAACAGAUUCUACCCCAUAAAGAGACAAUCGAAAGUGUGACCUUGGAAGAGGUGAAAGAGGUGAACAUUGGAACUUGCAUAACUGAGGAAACAAUACGGGACCUUAUUGAUUUACUGCAAGAGUUCAAAGAUAUCUUCGUGUGGUCAUAUCAGGACAUGCCCGGGUUAAACGCUAAUAUUGCGGUGCAUCGCAUCCCUAUAAAAGAAGAGUGCAAGCCUGUUCAACAAAAGCUUCGAAGGAUGAGACCUGAUGUUGCAGUAAAAAUAAGAGAAGAGGUUAGGAAGCAAUUUAAUGUCGGGUUCUUGCAAGUUGUUAAUUAUUCAAAAUGGGUAGCUAACGUCAUCCCUGUCCCUAAAAAAGAUGGAAGGAUGAGGAUGUGUGUAGAUUACAGGGACUUAAACAAGGCCAGCCCAAAGGACAAUUUCCCCUUGCCUCACGUCGACACUUUGGUGGACAACACGGCAGGUUACUCACUGUUCUCUUUCAUGGAUGGUUUCUCUAGGUACAAUCAGAUAAAGAUACAUCCUGAAGAUAUGGAAAAGGCCACAUUCAUAACCUUAUAGGGGACUUUUUGCUAUAGGGUGAUGCCAUUCGGGUUAAAGAAUGUGGGGGCAACGUAUCAAAGAGCCAUGGUAACCUUGUUUCAUGACAUGAUGCAUAAGAAAAUUGAGGUCUACGUCGAUGAUAUGAUCGCAAAAUCCCAGACAGAAAAGGAGCAUAUAUAGGUUUUGAGGAAAUUGUUCCUGAGAUUAAAAAAGUUUUAGCUAAAGCUCAAUCCAACAAAAUGUACUUUUGGAGUUAGGUCAGGGAAGCUGCUUGGUUUCAUAGUCAGCGAAAAGGGAAUUGAGGUCGACCCCGACAAAGUCAAGGCUAUACAAAAAUUGCCUCCGUCGCGCACUCAGAAGGAGGUUCGAGGUUUCCUAGGAAGAUUAAAUUAUAUCGCCCGAUUUAUUUCACAGCUGACUGAGAAAUGUGACCCCAUAUUUUGCCUUCUCAGGAAACACAACCCGUGCGUGUGGGAUGAUGAGUGCCAGAAAACCUUUGACAAGGUUAAAUAGUAUUUGUCUAAUCCCUCGGUACUAAUGCCACCUAGCCCUGGUAAGCCAUUGAUAUUUUAUUUGACAGCAUUUGAAAAUUUAAUGGGAUGUGUGCUUGGUCAAAAUGAUGAGACGAGAAAGAAAAAAAAUGCGAUAUAUUACCUCAAUAAGAAAUUCACUGAGUGUGAAAUGAGAUACUAGUCAAUUGAGAAAUUAUGUUGUGCCUUGGUUUGGACCACUCGGAGAUUGAGGCAGUACAUGUUAUACCACACGACUUGGUUAAUCUCAAAAUUGGACCCUUUAAAGUACAUGAUGGAGUCAGCUGCUUUGAGUGAAAGGAUUGCCCAAUGGAAAAUUCUUCUUUCCGAAUUUGACAUAGUUUAUGUGAGUCAAAAGGCUGUGAAAGGGAGUGCAAUAGCAGAUUUUCUAGCCAGCAGAGCUUUGGAAGAUUAUGAGCCUUUGAACUUUGAUUUCCCAAAUGAAGAUCUAAUGUAUGUGGCAACUACCGAAGAGGACACCUCAGAAGAUUAUCCGUGGAAACUAAAUUUUGACGGAGCAUCAAAUGUCGUUGGUAAUAGAAUUGGGGCAGUCUUGAUAUCCCCAGUCUUGUGUUCAAAUUGGGAUUAUCUCUUUAGUCAAAUACAUUGAUUGAAUAAGAAAACAGGAUGUUGUGACAACCAAAGCGUAAGAAGGGGUCAUGAUGCUCUUCGUUAAUGAAAUAUCGAGCGUACAUACCUGGUCAUAGGGCCCGGGGAGUGGUGUAAUAGACCGAAUUGAUAGAAGAGGGGGUUUUGAAGAUGGUACAAAUCUUAGUUUCUAGAAAUACAGUAAGAUAGACCCUGAAGUUGCAAUGGGGCAAACCAGUUGAGCAAAAUGGGUUGUUUCUGUGGGUUUCGCUAGUCGAGUAGGAAGACAACAUAAUACGAUGUGAUAAAACUCUGAUGAAUAACGAGUGAUGACACUUAAAGCUUUAAAAAAGAGAAGUCAUUUUCAUUUCUACAUUCAUAUCAUUCAUAACACAUUUGGUUAGGAGCAUCUAAUUCAUUUCGGUCUUAGCAUUCUAAUCAUCUAGCAUAAAUAUAAACAUAAAACAGAGUCUGCAGGGUAAGCUCCCCAGAGGAUAAUGUAGCGACAUCGAUGAAAAUUACAGAUCUUAUCUCCAUGUAUCAGCUAUGGAGUAGAUCAAGAAUGGCGAGUCUUAUCUCCAUGUAUUGGUUAUGGAGCAGAUUUUAGCCACCAGCCUUAUCUUUCUGAAGUUGCAGAGAGCAGGUUGAAGAUGCAAGUCUUAUCUUCCUGAAGUUGCAGGAAACAGACUGAAAAUUACAGAUCUUAUCUCCAUGUAUCGGCUAAGGAGCAGAUAAAAAAUAGCGAGUCUUAUCUCCAUGCAUCGGCUAUGGAGCAGAUUUUAGCCACCAAUCUUAUCUCGUUGAAGUUGCAGAGAGCAGGUUGAAGAUGCAAGUCUUGUCUUCCUGAAGUUGCAGGAAGCAGACCGAAGAUUACAGAUCUUAUCUCUAUGUAUCGGCUAUGGAGCAGAUCGAAGAUGGUGAGUCUUAUCUCUAUGUAUCGACUAUGGAGUAAAUUUUAACCACCGACUUUGUCUCCCUAAAAUUGCAGUGGAGCAGGCUCAAUAUGCAAAUAUUAUAUUCUUGAAGUUGCUGUAGGACUACUUGGAGAAAAGAAGCACCAAAAAAGUCAAAGAUUCAACAAGACCGGGCAAAAUUGGUCCUUUUAAGGUCUUUGCUCCGUUCUUGUUACACAACAACGCGCAAAGAGGGGCAACUGUAGACCCAAUUUUUGGCCCGGACCCAUACAGAUACAAAAAACCAAUAAAUAAAACCCACAUAAAAAUCCAAAAAAAUCCAAAAACUACAAAAACAAAAAUUACAAAAAAAAGUCCAAAAAUUACAAAAACAACAAACCCAAUUAUAAGCCCAAAAAUAUACCUAACCCUAGAGCCCAAAGAGCCCAAUACUAGACUAACUUUUCAGCAAAAAAGGAAACAGUUGCUGCUCCCCUCCACCACGUGCGUCGGCACACCGAGCACGACCCCCUGGUUCGCGCGUCCACGCCCAUGAACACCCUCUUCACGUCUCCACGUACUUGUAAAAUGGGGAAUAGCAGGGAACCGUUUGUAUUUGGCUAUAGCCUUUGAUUUUUUUAUUGUAAAGGGAUGGUUUUUUUCCUCCCUCAGAGAAAGAAAGUACAGAUUGAAUAUAAUAUAUACAAAAAAUCAGCAGAGAGCAGUAAAAAUAGUACAUUUCAAAGGUGAUUGUUACUGCAAUUUAUUCUAUUUUACAUUUUUUUCCCCUUUCCCAUUCGGAUCCACAACACGAAUUAAAGGUAGGAGAGAAAGAGAGGAAGUUCACUGGAGUCACACAGGGCACGCACCGUCGACGGGCCUUCGUUGGCUGCGAAUGGAAGGCCUGGGUACUGGCCUUUCGGCUGAAGAGCGAAGGGAGAGCGUGGGAGAUGGGGAGCCAUAAGGCAUUUAGGAUUUUUCUUAAAACAAAAGUCAGAAUGUUUGUUUUUUUUUUCAAAGCAAAAAUUGUAAAAACAUGUUUUAAUUAAGUAAAAUAGCAUUGGGAAGGGAAAAAGUCAGUAGAUGACUUGGUCCAUGUGCAUUU